RNAcentral lists this long non-coding RNA (85447 nucleotides) under Malus domestica (apple). RNAcentral describes it as "long non-coding RNA (MDOM_LNC007000)". The record is from RNAcentral. Lineage: Eukaryota; Viridiplantae; Streptophyta; Magnoliopsida; Rosales; Rosaceae.
GGGAUGGGAUUUUAUAUCCCGAAACCGAACCGAAUAUGUGCAUUUCCCGAAAUUCGGGAUUCCCGAAAGUGUUUCGGGAUUUUCGGGUAACUUCGGGAUUGGGCCUUGAAGAACUGGCGAUGAUGGUCCGUAUAGUGCAUCACAGAUUCUGAAAACGAAGAAAAACAAGAAGAUGAUUAGGACUGCUCGAAAUUGAUUCUCUCUCAUUCUCUCUCUCUCUCUUACACACUCCCACUCUCUCUCUGUGUGAGAAUUGUUGUGCUAAUCAGUGAAGAAAUCUCUCGAGGCAUAGAGAUGAAGCGUUGCAUGCAACUGGGAAAGCUUCUGGGCCUACUAACUACUAAUCUUAGUUAGCUUGCUACCUGAAUCAUCUCCUACAUAAACACAUAAAAUGGGGUUUCCUACUAAUUUGGGGUCCUCUGUUGAAGGAAGAAGGAUCAAAUACACAUGAAAAGUUCCCUAAUUCGAAACCCUCACACAUUCGACAAAAUACUCACUCAGAAAUCAAGUUAAUAAAAAAUCAGGAACCCUAACCUGGAUUUUGGGACUCGAUUGGUGUCGGAUUCGAGUGUAUGAGUGUGAGUCGAUGGAGAAGCGGCGUGAGUCAAUGGACGACGACGACCGGCAUGGAUUCGACGGAGGAGUGGAGCGGGGGGACUGUGAGAGUAACUGUGAGGGUGAGUGAGCCAGUGAGGUGAGAGAGUGAGAGCGACUGAGAUAGUCUAAUAACCUAACAAACAAAUGACCUAACUAUGGACGGUUGGAUUAGAUUUUAACAAAUCCAACGGUUCAAGUAAUUUCUAAUUAAAAAUUAAAAAUAAAUAAAUAUAUAUAUAUAUAUAUAUAUAUAUAUUAUUCGGUUCGGUUCGGGAUUCCCGAAAGCUUUCAAAGUUGUGGCCGAAUUCCAAACCGAAACUUUUGGGUCGGGAUCCGUUUCGGGUACCGAAUGUUUCGGGAAUUUUUCGGUCUAAUUUCGGGACGGGAUCGGGACGGUUCGGGAUUUUCGGGAAAAAAUUCCACCCCUAAGCAUUCGAAUGUCCACAAGGGAUUUACACGUAGGAUUUCCAUUUAGCCCGUCAGGGACAUCUUUGUAAUUUUUCAAGGUUGGAAAAUGAAAUAAUAUUAAGUUCGGGACAGGAGUUAAUAUUUUUUUUUUCUUCUACUUUUUCUCUCUCUCUCUCUCUCUCUCUCUCUCUCUUUUUUCCUCGUAUUCCUUUUCUCCUUCUCCUUUCUUCUUUCACCUCAUUAAAAAGAAAAUUUUCCUAAUCAAUUAAAGUCGUGAUAGUGAUUUAUCGUCGGUUUGGGAUUUGGGUUUGCGAAAAAUGAUGAUGAGGACGACGUCAUACCAGAUCCAAACGACGGUGAUAUGUGGCUCAUGACAGGAUAUACUAAUUUUUCUUAGAUCAGGAGAAUUCUACGCUAAAAUUCUUGCUCGACCACUGAAUCCUUGGGACAUUUUUAUUAAAAUUAUCUAUUGAACCUACACUUUGGCAAUUAUCAUAUAAAAUUGUUGAGGGUAUAUUCUCUUUUUUUAUUUUGUGCAGCCUAGGAAGCAAAAUAAUACAGCUUCUCAUAAGAUUAGGAUGUUUAGAGUAGGGGUAGGUAUGGGUUGAUUUGGGUCGGUUUUGGGACAAAACCAAAACCAAACCGACAAGGUCGGUUUUGCAAAAUUGCAAAACAAAACAGACCAAAUUGGGUCUAAAACUGAUCAAGUCGGUUAACCGAAUGUGGUGGGUUGGUUUCGAUUGGUUCUCGUUUUGUGUGAAGACGAAAACACAUAAUAAAUUUAUCUUCCAAAAGCUACAAAACAUAACACCAAUAUGGGUGAUUACUCAAAGGAAAGCACAAAUGAAGCAGCCCAAGGAGAGCACCAAAGUAGCCACUGAUGCAUUCUCCAAAUGGUGCCCAUGUUCUUCUCCAAAGGGACCCUUAAACUAAUCAGGUUUGUUUUCAAGUGGUGGAAACACGGUAACUGGUAAAUAACUAACAAUUUAUAUUACUACAUGUAUUAAUUAUGAUUAAAAAAUAAAAUUAAAGAUAUGCGGGUCGGUUCGGUUAACCGUACCCUAACAAUUUUGGGAACCGAUUAGGGUAAGUGCAGUUCGGGCGGUUCAAUUGGUUUUUUUUUUUUCUUAAAACGCCCUAGUUUAGAGUAAUUCAUGUGAAACUUAAAUUGUUGACGAAACUUGUAGUACAAGAUUAGAAACAUGUCAAUAACAACGCGUUUUGCUUUCCUCUCACAACAAAGAUAAGUUCUCAGGGAGAGGUAAGAUCUUUUCCUCUUGUUAAAAAGAGAAACUUGCAGGUAACGAGUUGCAUAUACGCUCACUAGAAAUAUAUAUAAGAGCAUGUCCUUUAUGCAAAGGGAUCCCUAAUUUUUUUCAAAAAAUAGGGAUUAGGUGUGGGACCCACUCCACAUCGAACUUCAACGAUCCGAACCGUCUAUUUUGUAAGUCUCGAUUCAUAGACCAUCCUUACAAAAAUUCAAUUCAAUAUGAAAUCAUUUUAUCAAGAUAAAAUUUCAUUGUUUCUUAUAUGACAAAGUAUUCCUUUAAAAAAAAAAAGUAUUCGUUAAUUUUUUUGAACCUAAUUAGAUGCCUUAGAUAUUUCCGAUUUUACUCAUAUUUUGUAAGGAUGAUCUAUAAAAUACAAUUUAAAAAAUAAAUUGUUCGGAUCGUUAAAAUUCGAUGCGGUGUAGAUCCCACAACUAAUCCUCCUCUUCAUAAAAAAAAUAGAAAUCCUUUUCCUUAAAGGUUUCCAAUAUAAGAGAACGUAAGAGUCAUUCUUCCUUCGUCACAUGAUCACUUAUACACAUAUAAAGACAAGAAUAAAAAUGUAUAUACGUGAUUACAUGCAAGUUAUUUAAUUACAUAUUAGUGCGUUGUAAAUUUGAAAGGAGUAGACCGUUAAGCCAAUUAAUUCGAUAAUUCUGAGUGAACAGCCAAGAGAGAAACCAUGCAUUCUUACCUGGUGUGCGAAAAACAAUAAUUAACAAUGCUAAUUAGUGUUAUGAUUUGAUUAAGUCUUCUGUUAACGCAGCCUAUUAAUUAAUAUAUCCAAUUUUGGUAGUCAAAAAUGCAAUUUUAUAUAGUUAUGCUCUGCAUUAAGUCUUCCUAUCCAGUCGGAAGAUCUAAGACUUGACUAUGCCAUACACAGUCGCGCACACAGUUUCUUUUAAUUAAGGUGAAGAUGAUGUUUGAUUCCUCAUUUCUAAAUGGUCAAAUCUCAUUCUGUGGAACGACAGCUACAUCCAAUUGAUGGAUAUCAAAUGACGGCUGCAAUUUUAUCAUGAGUAGUUGAUAUUUUAUGGAAAAUGCAUAUGGAAUUUAACAUUUUCCAUAUGAAUUAGAUUUUAAGAGCAAAUAAUGAAACCCUUUUGUUCCAUUCAAUCGAACUUAAUACGUCUCAUUUACAAGUAAAAAUAAAUAUCAUUAAACUAUAAUAGCCGUUUCAAUUUUAAUUUUGAAGUUUCAUUUUUGUGGUAUUGAUGGAAGGAAAGUGUACAUUAGAGAAAAUAUAAAUAAAAAAGGGUGGAGGGAAAGUGAGUGAUUGGAGGGGAGGGCAUUAGGGAGAAAUGGAGCAACACAACACAAAAAUAUGAGAUCAAAUUUCUGUAAAUUCUUUAUUUCAAUGAAUCAUUUUGUAUGUAAAAUUAUUCACAUCAUCAUAUAAUUAUUUACAAUUUUAAUCAAUAACAUAAAACCUCUAAAUAAAUAAAUAAACUAAAAUUCCGAAAUAAAUUUUGAACCCCAGAAAAAAAAAAAAAAAUCAGCGAGGGGCAAACGAAACAGAGAUGUCAAUAGGCACGCUCAUCUUCUCCGCCCAACCAUGCGACUCCAAAAACAGCUUCGAAACCAAACCCGCAACCGGACCCAUAUCGGGCCGCCUAUCCGGAUCCUCCUCCAUACACUCCAACGCCACCAAUACCAUCUGCUCUGCCACAUCCAUCGGAAACGAAUCCUUUAGCCUCCCAUCCACCCACCUCCGCACCCCGCCACAUCCCCCACUCAACGCCUCCCUCGCCGACUCGAUCAAACUCACCCUCCUAUACCCGCCGCCCCCGCCAUUUCCGUCCAUUAUGUACUUCAACGGCUCCUCCCCGGAGAUUAGCUCCAAGAGCACCACCCCAAAAGCGUAGACGUCGCACUUCUGGGUCACGAUUCCGGUGAGCUGAAACUCCGGCGCCAUGUACCCGCGCGUGCCCUCCAUUCUGGUCGACCGAGCCUGGGUCUCGCCGCAGAGCUCUGCCGUACCGAAGUGGCAGAUUUUGGCGCCGAGCACGAGGUGGUCCUGCUCGGAGACGAUGAUGCUGGAGCUCUUGAUGUGGUUGUGGACGAAGGUAGAGUCGAGGCCGGAGCAGUGGUGGAUGUAAUCGAGGCCGUGGGCGAGGUCGGUAGCGAUCUGCAUCCGGGAGAGCCACGACGACAGGACGGUGUAGCUCGGGUUCUUCGGGUUGCGGAGGCAGUCAGCGAGGUUGGCGCCGGCGACGAAUUCGUAGACGAGGUAGACGGAGCUGCCAGAGAGGGAGGCGCCGAGGAGCUUGAUGAGGCUGGAGUGGUGGGAUUUAGAGAUGAGGGAGAGGCGGUGGUGGAGGUCGGGGAGGGAGAGGGGGAGGCGGGACUUGCGCUGGAAGACGACGGCGUCUUCGGAGCGGAUGGAGCAGCGCCAGGAGGAGGAGGUGGAGGAGGAGGAGAGGCGGCGGUGGGGGAGGAAGUUGGAGGUGGCGGAGCGGAUCUCGGAGAGGUCGUAGAUUUGGGGAUUUUGAGGGAGGGAGGAUUUAAGGGAUUUGAGGGAGGCGACGGAGGAGGAGGUGGAGGAUUUGGAGAAGUUAUAGCUGGAGUUGUCGAUGCUGGUGCUGAAAAUGGCGGAGCAGGGGUCGGGGAAUGAUGAGGAGGAGGAUUUUCGGUGUUUGAUGGGGCUCUUGGGCUCAAUCGCCUGCGCGCUCUUUUUGGUCCUGAACAUAGGGACGGCGGUGCAGGGGGCGGCGGGGGGCGGCGUUGAUCAUAGCAGAAUUGGGAAUGGAAGAAGAAAUGGAGUUGUGUAUUUUUUUCGCCUUCCUUUGUUUUUUUCUUUUUUUUUGUAUGGUGUUUAAAAAUAUAGGGGGAGAAAGUCGUUCCCACGGAGCACAUAAGUUAAGACCACGGAGCACAUAAAAUUCAUCCGUAUUCUACACGAUACGUUUUGCGUUGGAUUUUUAAUGUUGAUGAAUUAUAGAUGAUGGUCAUGAAUUAUAGAUGACGGCCAUAAGAUUUAAAUACUUCUGUAAAUCUUUUUUAUCUAAAAAAAAAUCGGUAUUUUUUUAAUUAAAAUAAAAAUAUAUCAAUUAUUUAAUAUUUAGUAGCAAAAUUUUCUGUUAGAACCCAACGAGAACCUUUUGCUUAUUCUUUCGUAAAGGCUGAAUUACAGUUGAUAAAAUACUAAUACUUUCUUCUGAGAUGGACUAAACCACAUAAUAAAUCAAUCAUAAUAAACUUGUACAAAUGUUUGCUCAACUACUUAUAUUUUUAAGUUGAGAUCAACAUUAAAAGAUGAUACUGUCUAUCUAUUUGUACGCUAUUCAAGCAGCCCUUCAUAUAUCAUAAUAUAAGUAGAGAAUUGAUAUAUUUUUUCAUGUUCCUUCACUUAUCCAUAACACACAAAACGACUACUUGAAUACCGAACACUUUGAAAAGCUUCUCUACACGAGGGGCCAACGACAUGCAGGGCUUUUCUGGUGCUGGUCAAAUGUCUGCGGAAUGACAAACACAACAUUUGGGUCAAGAUUCAAGAACAUGAAAAGGAUAAUCAGAAUCAAAAUAUCCUUUUUUUCCUUUCAUUUCUUUCUAAUAAAGAAUUAAAGUUAUUUUAUUUUACUUUUUACGAAUAAAAAUAUCAAAAAUAGAAACUAAAAUAACAGUAAUCAGCACACCGUUGCCAAAAUACUGCUUAAUUUUCUAGUAAUUGUGUCUAAUUACGGUGUAAAUCCGGGAUAUUUUCAUUAAAUAAUUUUAAAGUAGUUGGGUAGGUUGAGAAAACGAAAGCACUUACGUAUAUCUCAGUCGGCCCGCAGGGGCAGAAGAAGUUGAGUUCCACAAGCUAUGACGUCUCAAUAAGAGCUUUAGAGAUGUCUAGGUGAAAUGUUAUGCAUAUUUGACGUUAAAAGUUUAUUCAACUGAAGUGUUGUUUGCUGACUGGAUUUAAAAACAUUGUGAUUAUGAGUCAAAUUUGAUAUUUACGUCAAAUUUAUUUUUAAUUCAUUUUAAUAGUUUAUCUUAUUCCACUAACAUUUCAAUUAAUAAAAAUUUUGUUUCAACUUUCAUUUUAAUAUUUACAACAAUUUAAAGAUCUAUUUAAAUAAAAAUAAUAAUAUUUGACAAUUCAAUUGAAGAGCUACAAAAUUUGACAUAAAACUUGAGAUUGUCACAUCAACCAUCAAUUGUAAUUUAACUAUUAUAAUUUGACAUAUCUCUUAAAGGACCUGGAUUAUCUGCCCUCCCUCAUCUCUUAACAUUGUCACGGUUAAGUCACGUCAACAUUUUAUAUUCCCAUUGCUUUUUAUCUUAUUAUUUCUAUAAAAGAAUCAAUACAAAAUAUUGACGUAACUUAACCGUGAUCACAUAAAUAGAAAAUGAUGAGAAGGGUAUGAAAUAGGGAGGACAGACAAUCCAAGUCCUCUCUUAAAAAUGGUCUAUGAGGCCAAACACAUGCACCUAUCCUACAUAGGCUAUAGUUUAGACGCGGAGAAAAAGGAAAUAAAAAGGGAAGAAAGAUGUAAAAAUAAUUCUAAAGAAGUUUCCGGUAUCUAAUAAUGUAAUAUCAAACUAUGUUCUAUUUAUGUAAUUCAACUAACCAAAUAUUUAUUUACUAACUGACGAGAAAUUCUUGAGCGUUGAGGACCAGAUCCAUUAUAGCCCAUGCGUCUAUUAUUUAUAAUCCUUCGUUUAAGAAGGGAAUAUUCUUUGAUCCUAACAUGAAAAUAUGCAUUUUGAGGAUUGCUGUGCCGAUUGAUUUUGUAUUUGUGUGGUUGCAUCUAGAUUGCAUACGUACCCUUGGUGGAAUCAAACCAGCGUAAUUCAUAAAGAAUUUGGAAUUCAAUUUGGAUCUGUGUGAUUUGUAACAUUUGAGGGAUAUUUGAAUUGUAUAGUCUGGAGUCGGACUAACAUUUAGAAUAGUGCAUUUUGAUUUUUCAUUUGUCACGAUGCAAUCGAAUUCGUAGUUAGGUGCUGCCCUGCGAGUUUUUGCUAUGUUGCUGCCAUAGAGAGACAGAAGGUCUGAUUUCAGAGUGUUGGAGCUGCAGUCCAACGGACGCGUGCGCGGUUCUUCCUGGACCGUUGAGGAGGACGAACCAGUCGGUGACUUGGUGGCGCGGACGGUCUUGAUGCGACUGUUCUUUCUUUUUUGUUGUUUGAUAACUUAGGGAGGGUUCUUCAUUAGAGGUGGUGUUGUUUUGUUAAUGCUUACCAGCAGAAAAGAAGAAAAAUAAUAAUAGGUAGAGAAAUAUGGCACAGAGGUUUUAUACCUUCUGAAUGUUGCUCUCUCCUUCCUUGAAAGACUUGGUUCGGAAUCGCCGGUGAUGAAAUUUUUUUGUCUAUCUUUUUGCAGCACUUCGUUGUGUUCGAGUACCUAUUUUACUAUUUAUUUACUCCGAAAGCUACAUUUUCUUGCAAUAUAUUUGAUUUAAAUGAAAUGAAUUUCAUGAUUUUGUAUUCUCAAGCUAGAUUAACGAGAUGGAAAUUUUAUUGGAUCUCAUUAGUUUUAAUGAGUUAAAUGAGUCAAGUAUAAUAUAAAUUGAGCGUGUGUGCUUUUGGCAUAUUUAAGAUCGAGUAAUGCUAGAGAGACUCAAUUUGGUGACUAAAUUUUGAAAAUUAAAGAACAUGAAAGUUGAUGAUUGAUUUAUUAGUUAAGUGUUGAUUUAGAUGCUCAUUUCUAUUAGUAACACAUAAUUUAGUUUACAAUUUUAAUCUCCCUAGCAUUAUUCAUUGAAUAUCACAUGUUUUUCUUUCUUUUUGGGUUUCAAAUACAUCGUGUUAUUUAAAUGUUAUGCAGGGUACGUGCCCGCUUCAAGAAGAAGACGGCCUUUAUCCUUUUAUUGCACAGAAAAGAAAAAUGAAAGCUUUGCCUUCUCUUCUAUUCUCAUGAGCAAGCCGACACAGAAACAAUUGCAGCAGAAUGUGACCACUUAGAGAUUUUCUAGAAGUUAGACAGCGAGAUGCGAGGAUGCUAUGACUGCGGCAAGUAAACUCAAGAUAAUAAGUUGGUGUUAAGCUAGCGGGUUUGACUAGUCAGUCCAACGUAUUAUAAUUUUUAUAUACAGAAUAUUUUAUUUGAUAUCAAUUUCAAGAUGUCAUAGACUCUUAGCACAUAUGAGUAUACAUAGUAAUCUAGAUGUCAUAAAUACUAUAUGAAUUAGAGGAACUAGACCGUCAAUUUGGAUGAUUACUCAUUAAUAAUUAACCGUUGGAAUUGACUUAGAUUGGUUAUGGUGAAUCGGAUGCUCUAAUGUUUUUCGCAAUUGAUUUAUAAUUUUAUUUCUUUGUUGUUCUUGUCACUUAUUUAAUCUCAUUUGAUUUUUAUUUACAUUUACAACUUCAAAGUUCUUUCCCAAAUCAUCAAUCUUUCAAUUCCAAUUCAAGUGCAAUUUAAAUUAAAGUUAGAUAAUUAGAAUGAUAUCAAUCUUAGUUGGAACGAUCUUGUGCUUGCCUACUAUACUACUUUACAGUAUGUACACUUGCGAGCACUAAAAUUUGAACUUUAUUGGGUUAAUUUCGGUUAAUCUAAUUUUGGCAACAAGUUUUUGGCGCCGUCGACGAAGAUUGAAUUAGUUCUAUUUAUAGCUUAUUUUUAUUGUUAUUUGUGUUGAUUUUAAUUUUUGUUUUUGUUUUCUUUUCUUUUUAGGUACUUUUUGAAGUUCAUGCACGGUCGCUAUUCUCGGAGUCGAGAGCUUUUACCACACGAUUUAGAAAUUAAGGAACCUUCUGACACAUACAAAGAGAGUAAAUAAGGCCACCAUAACCUAUUUAUGAAAUGGCUCUCCCUAAUCUGAAUGAGAACCGAACGUUGAUGGAGUAUUUUGCUCUUAUUGUGACAACCUCACCAUCAUGCAUCGUUCGUCUGCAAAUUGCUGCCAACAACAUCGAGUAGAAACCAUCUUUCAUUAAAAUGAUGUCGUCAUUUUAUGGCUUGUCAAACGAAGAUCCUAAUUUGCAUAUCAAUGAGUUUCUUGAGAGUGGUGACACUCUCAAGAUCCAUAAUGUGACAGUUGAAGCAGUAAGGUUGUGUUUGUUUCCUUUUUCAUUGAAAGACAAGGCGAAGUCUUGACCUCAAUCUCUUCCACUCAACUCAAUCACAACUUGGAAUGACUUGGCAAGCAAAUUUUUGCAAAAAUUCUUCCCUCCUUCCAAGACUACUAAGUUAAGGAAUGACAUAAUGACUUUUGCUCAAUUCAUGGCGAGCCCUUUUAUGAGAGUUAGGAGUGAUUUAGAGAUUUUUUGUUAAAGUGACCACACCAUGGUCUACCGAAAUGGCUACAACUUCAGAAUUUCUAUCAAGGUUUAAGCACUGAUAAUAAUCGGAUGAUAGAUGCUCCCAAUAGGGGUGCUCUAAUGACAAAAAAUAUUGAUGAAGCUUUUGCACUAUUCAAUUCAUUGGCUGCUAAUUCUCAAACUUGGGGUACUCAUAGAGAUACCAAAGAAGGCCGGAAGACAUGAGAUUGACGCCAUGUUAGCUAUGGCUGCACAAAUUUCCGGUUUAAAUAAAAAGUUUGAUAACUUAAUGAUUAUCAAAUCUGUGAAAUCUUUUGAUGUUGUUUAUGAAAUUUGUGUAAGUAUACAUUCAAGUAUCGAAUGUCCCAUGAGCAGUUCUUUUCGGGAGUUUAUUUAAGAAAGCCAAUCAAGUGAACAACUUCAACCGCCAACGGUUUGAUUCGUUCUCAAAUAAAUAUAAUCAUGGUUGGCGUCAUGAUCCAAAUUUUGGUUGGAAGAAUAAUCAGCAGAAUCAAGUAAACCCGCCUUUACCGUUCUAGAACAAUGAAGCCAAAAAGAGUUCAAUGAAAGAUAUGAUGGCUCAAUUUGCUCAAACUACCAACACUCUCGAUCAGAACACAAAUAAUUUCAUGCAAGCAACUCAAACUUCUCUACAAAAUCAGCAAGCAUCCAUACGUAAGCUAGAUGAGCAGGUUGGUCAGAUUGCUAAUGCAAUGGUUGAGAGAGAGAAUGACAAGUUUCCAAGUCAAACUGAGAUCAAUCACAAGAAUUAAGAGCAAGCCAAGGCCAUCACACUCCAGAGUAAGAAAGUUGUAAAGACAAAGGAUGAAGAAAAAGUGAACCCGAUUGAAAAGUUGAUAAAUGGCAUCACUGAAUCGUAAUAGGAAGAGCAAGUACAUGAGAAAAACAUUUCUCCACCUAUUCCAUAGCCUCAACUGUUACAAAAGGCUAAGACAGAUCAACACUUUUCUAAUAUUUAUGAUUUGUUCAAAAAAGUUCACAUUAACUUUCCUUUGCUUGAUGCAAAUGCAAUGAAACAAAUUUCGAGUUAUAUUUUUGAAAGACAUAUGCACCAAGAAGAGGAAAUUCGUUGAGCAUGAGACAGUGAUGGUAUCCAAAGAAUGUAGUGCGGUGCUACAAAAGAAAUUGCCACCUAAGUUGAAAGAUCCAAGGAGUUUCACUAUUCCUUGCACAAUUAGAAAUACUCAUUUUGAUAAAUCUUUAUGUGAUUUGGGUGCAAGUAUUAAUCUAGUGCAAUUCUCUAUCUUUAAACAAUUAGGUUUGGGAGAGAUAAAACCAACAUCAGUUUGUUUGUGGAUCGAUCUGUCACAUACCCACGAGGAAUUAUCGAAGAUGUAUUGGUGCGGGUUAUAAAGUUAAUUCUCCCUGCAGAUUUUGUUGUUCUUGAUAUGGAAGAAGAUCAUGAAAUCCCAAUCAUCAUAAGCAAGCCAUUCUUGGCAACUGCAGAUACUGUAAUUGAAGUUUGAAAGGGCCUAGUUACAUUGAGUAUACAAGGAGAGCAUGUGGUGUUUAAAGUUUUUAAAGCUAUUAAAUGCUUAAGUGAUGCAGAAUGUUUUGGAGUCGAUGUUCUUAACAAGGCGGUGAAUGUGGAUGUCAAUUUCGUCGCCACCAAUUCUUCACCUCUUAUCACCGAUCCUGCUUAACCCAUUAGUAGUCCGGCUGAAGACUAUAAAUUUAGCGCUUGUUAGGAGGCAACCUAAUAUUUCUAUGUUCCUUUUAGUUUCUUCUUUUUCGUUUUUAUUUUCUUUCCUGAAUUUCUUGCAUGUUAUGCUGUGUUAUUUUAUUUUUCGUUGUAGGAGAACUGGAUGUUGUCCACUCUUGGAGCUUAUUGUAGAUCAAGUUUGUGGGUUGCUUCUUGCCGGGGAACAUGAUGACUACCAUGUGGUGCAUAAACCAAGGAAAUGUCUUUGUCCAAAUGUUUUUCCUCAUUCAUUUUAUUUUAUUCUUUAUUUCAUGUGUUAAAAGACAUUAGGGACAAUGUCAAUUUUAAGUUGGGGGUGAGGUUUAAAAACAAAGAAAAAAUUGAAAAUUUCCAAACCUUUCAACAAGAAUUGAAUUGCACUGUCUUUAUUUUGCUUUGUCAAUUUUGAGUCAUUUCGUUUUAUUACUUUAGUUUGUCUUGUUCUUACUACUUAAAAAACAAUAAAAUUUAGAAAAUUUAAAAAGAAAAAAAAUUAGAAAUUGACAUAAAAUUCAAAAGCAUUUUCUUGUUUUUUUUAUUAUUGUUUUGAAUUUGUUUUUUUGACACACCCCAAUCUGAAAUGUCCACCUGGACUUCGAAUCAAGCUGUGCUAGCCGACACCAGAAGGUGACAAAGCCAUAAAGUGUAGUAAUAUGGAAAAUAUGAAUAAAUUUAAACCUAAAGUGCCUAAAUAUAAGAGUGUGCUUGUGAGCGAGAAUGAACUCAUUUCACACGUGAUAUUAGAGUAUAGUACAAUAAAGUAGGAUGAGAAUUAUACCAUCGAAGGUAACCACCUAUACCAAGAUUUGCCAAGAAUCCUUAUUGGCACGAAAGCUCAUCACUAAAACAUGGAAGGGCGAAAAACAAGGGUGAGUGGGCCUAAAAAUGAAGUUUUAUAAAAACCUUUGUUACAUCCCGGCCCGGGACGGACCACUUCCUGGGCCCGCUUUACCAUUGUAGCACGAUAUUGUCAUUUUUGGGCCCUGACCACACACUCACGAUUUUGUUUCUGGGAACUAACAAGCAACUUCCUAGUGGGUCACCCAUCAUGGGAGUGCUUUGGCCACCUUCUCACUUAAUUUCGGAGUUCCGACAAAACCCGAAGCCAGUGAGCUCCCAAAAAGCCUCGUGCUAGGUAGGGAUGAGAAUAUACAUUUAAGGAUCAUUCCCCUGGGCGAUGUGGGAUGUUACAACCUUUUUGAAAAUAUUAUAACCCCUCGUCGUAAAACAAGUAUAGUUUUCAAAAUAUACAUACUACGUAUAGUAUGAAAAUACUUACCGUAGCCUGCAAUAUCUUAAGAAUUCAAUACCUUACAGAAUUCGUAAUAAGCACCCAACGUCCGAUAAUCACAUAAUCUCGUAUAAAUAAACAUAUCAUAUCGAGUGCUCAUUGACAUAUGCUGACACAUGAGUUCAUGCAGAGGUAAUUUAACAUGAACAUGAUUGAGUGUAAUAAUGAUUUACACUCUAGUACUACAAUCACGUGAAGACUGCAUAUGAGUCCUAAUUGCCUAUAACAUUCUAGGAUAGGACAGGCACCUACAAUAGAUCCAAAAAGAGCGUACGGUGCGAUGUGAAUAUACACGUGAAAGACUAGCCUUGGCCCGGGCAAGUACUAACACCGGUGCAGGAACGAUGAAUAGAUAAUGUAAAUAAAAUCAUACAGUGGUAAGUUGAUAAUUCACAUUACCAUAAUACUAUUCAUGGCCAUAAAUAUAAUUAAGGCAUCAAUAAUAAUACGCAUACCUGUACAUUCCGUAUGACGUAGCAUAAUUUCAUAAUUUCUAUCAACACGCUAAAUCUUAUCAACGUAAAGCUAAUCUAGGCGUAUCGUAGAAAAUUCUUUAUGAAAUAUAUAAAUGGAAACCAACAAAUGUAUAUAUAUAUAUAUAUAGACACACUACAUAAAAGAAAUGACCCACUCAUAAUUACUUGCGAUGUCACAUCCAUUCAAGUUAGGAAGCCAGAGUCUUCGAUGGUAAUUGCACCUAAGCAUAAUAUUGGGACCCAUUAGUAAAAAUUCAACUAAAACGAUUAAAUUUGGAAAAACGGAGUGCGGCUUUGGAAUCAGAGUGUCCAGAUACACUAAGAAGGGUCCUGGGCAAAUAUUGUAAAAAGUCAACAGUUAAUCCUAAAAAGUCAACCGAGCCACUCCGACGGUCAAGUACAUUAAAACUUUGAAAUUUCACUAAAUGGAUGUCAAAAAUGGACUAGGGGCGUCAAAAUUAGCCUAAAAGGGUUUUCGAGAAAACUUUCAAAAAGUCAACAUUUAGAAACUGAGCUGGGCUGGAUCUCGGGUUUGGAUUUAGAUCUGGGUUUAUUGGAUUUUUUUAACCGAGUCGGGUCGACCCGUUAUCUCGCGGGUUGAACUUGUUGGACCAAAUGAAGAAGAACAUCGAUAUUUUGGCCAGGAAACUUCCCGAGCUUUGUUUAGCUUCGAAUCUCAACAAAAACUCGCCAUUUAAAAGCUAAAUUAAAGCUAGGAAGGCAAUGAUACGAAAUAUACCUAAAAUAGGACUAAUCCGUGGCCAGAGUUGGCAAAGAAAUGGCUCAAAGCUGCAGGAUCUUCGCCGAAAAACUGGGAAAUUUCCCCCACGUUGUUUCUUACAUCCAAAUGUCACCAAAAUCCCUCAAAUUUACCCUAGUCCUACUACAAAACAUGAUCUACGAAGAACUUGGGGUUUUUGAGGUUCACCUUUGUCAGAAAAAUGAAGUUUCAUUAGAGGAGACGAUGAACAGUAGCCAAAGCCACUGUGCAGCCACAUCUCGAACCAAGGUGCACUGAACUGACUGGAUAACGGCAAUGGUGAUCUCCCUUCGAGGCUAGUGGUCUGAUUUCGAUGGUUUUGAUGGAAGACGGCGAUGCUCUGUUGUGGUAAUGUCUGCAUAACUACAGAGAUAAGGAGAACGGGCGGGAGAGAAAGGUGAGAGAUGAGGGAGAGGAAAUCAUGGCAGUCGGCGGUGAUUCGUGACUAGCCUAGGUUCGUGGUGGUGGUGUUCGCUGAAAUGGCGAGGGUGGUAUCGUGCGGUUUCUCCACACUUACAGAAAGAGAAAGACGAGACGGAGUAGACAGAUAAUAGAGAGUGAAAUGAGGGAAUGAGGAAUGAGGUGGCAGCAAAUGAGUGGAGAGUUGAAAAAAUGGGAUUUCUGGGGAUUGGGAGACACGAAGAGAGGGAAAGAGUUGGGUGUGGGCCCCACGUGGCUCACAAAACAAGCCACAAAAUAUCUUUAAACAUGUAAUUACCAAAUUGCCCUUCAUGUUCAUAAGUCUGUAAAAUCUUUAUCGUAACUUCAAAUUUGAUUCCGCUUGUGCCCACGUGUUCGUAUCAUCGAGUACUAGACAAAUACUCUAAAAGAAUGAGUCAUACAUCUCUAUAAACAAUGAUCAACAUAAGUCAAAAUUCUUGCCUCUAGAGGCAUUUUUGUCAAGUCACACUUUUAAAAUUAAUAAAAUCGUAAAAUUAGGGACGGGUUGUCACAUUUUUUGUUAGUAUCCUGACCCAAUGACAUGAUUGGUUGAAUUCAAAACAUGGUGAUUGAGAAAUUAGUAAGCAUGUUUUAGGUGAAUUUCCUUAUUCUCUUAUUAGCUUUGUACAUGUUCGAUCAUCCUUGAAACACGAAUGCACAUAGCCUUGUUGAUUUGAAACUAAAGCAUGAUUUAAUGUUUCAUAUGUGAAUAUAGUGACCAAAUGGGAAAAUUGUGAGCUUUUGAACCUAAUAUGAUUGAACUAUCAUGCAUCAAUCAUUUUUAUUCUCAUGCGUAUGAUCUCAUUCUUACAUGUAUCUCUAAAACUUGAUUUAUACCUUUUGAUUCAUUCGUCAAUUCAUGAAUAACUUGGAAAGGAUAAAGGCCAUUUUUUGAUCGUUUGAGCCUUUCAUGCCUACCUUAUAUGCUUAUUUUAUCGUUAGUAGCCCUUUGAGCCUUAAAUUAAGCCUUUUCUUUGCUAGCCAUAUCUCAUGCUCCGAUAUUGGAGUUGAGCCCUUAUGCAUAUACCUAUAUUUUAUUGUUUUGAGAAAGUAUUAUAGAGGUUAGGCUAUUGGGUUUAAUUUAUAUAGAAAAAUGGAUGGAGAGUGUGUACUACAUUGAAAUGUGAAAAUGCGGGGCGUUGUAGCUUUGUAUAUUCGAGCAUGAUAAAAAGAGAGAAAUGAUUAAAAAUCUGCAGGAAGCUCGCUAUUUUGUGUGGAUGGUAUGGGUUUCAUUCAUUUAUGUAAAUAUUGAAAAAAAAAAUUGGAGAGUGCUAAGAUGUUGAAAUGUGUUAUGUACAAGCAUACUUCUAUUCUUAUGGCGCGUUUACGUAACCAUAAUCAAAAUAGAGGAAUUGAAUUGAGGAGGAAUUGGAUUGAGGUGAAGUCAGAAUCGGAUUCCGGUUGAAGAUGUUUACUUAAAUGUUCUAGAAUCGGAAUAAAAAUGAAACGAAAUUCAUAUAAAUUGUUUACUAAUUCACCUGAAUCGGAAUAGAAAUCAAUAUGAUUACUAAAAUACCCUUAUUAUUUUUGUUUUAAAUAACAUUUUCACAAAAUAGAGGAAUAGAAAUUCAUAUAAAUUCUUUCCCAUAUUGUUUUUAAUAACAUUUUCACAAAGUGUCAUUGUUGUAAACCUUCAUCUAUCUUCCCCAACAGAAGAUAAAAAUUCAUCCCUCCCCCUUUCCCCUCGCUUUCAUCUUUCCCACUCACCCUACCCCAUAAUCACCACCCCUCCUCCCUGCCAAGUAUUUCAAUUUCAAGAUUUUCUAGGGAUUGUAAAAUUCUCCAUUGUUGAAAGCUCGAAGCUUGAAGGAUUGGGUUUUUCUGGGCACUAUUUCUGUCAGUUCAUGGCUAGAAGAUGAAGUGGAAAGCGCGGAUAGAAGAUUGCAGAGUUUGUUGUGUCCGUUGGAAGUGGAACCCACGCGCUUUGCAAAUUGCAAUGGAUAGAGCGAGGGAGGGUUUCCAACGAUGUAUUGUGAUUCAUCUAGUGCAAUUCCUAGUUCCCACUAACCACCCUUUUCAUAUUCCCAGUUGUCUUCCUCCAACUCCAAUGCCAAGCUGAAGCAUUUGUGAAUAAAAGGGCAUAAUAGGAAAGUAGAAGUGCAUUCUUGAUUCCUUCACCAUCCAGGAAUCCAAAUACCUCACCCAUGGAGGGAGUCCAAUUCCUCUUAUUUCAAGAAUUGAAUUCCAUUUUUCGUGUGGGUCCCACACGCUGUUGAUUCCUCCAAAUCAUAGUAAACACAAGAAUUAUCCGUAAUCGGAAUUGGAUUCCUUAUUUUCAUUCUGAUUACGGGUGCGUAAACACGUCAUUAAUGUUCAUUGUUAUUAUACAUGAAAAGCUUGAGUGUGCAAUUGCAUAAGUUGGAGGGAUAGCUUGUGAUGCAAAGUUCAUAUUUCUAGUUGAAAUUGUGAGAGGAUGUUACUGUCUUUGGCUUGCUCUAAUGUAUACUUUCUCAAAAGUUUUGAAUUCCAUAUCCUUUCUUUCAAUAGCUUAUCACCUUUAGCCCCAUUACAACCUGGUAAAAGACUUUUUGAUCCAAGAAAUUACUUGAAAUUGAUACCGAGCUAGGUUGAUAAGCAAGCAUAUGGCUGCAUGUUUAAUUAAUGAGAUCAUUUGAGUGAAACACAUUAACCCAUAAAUAUGUGUGAAUGAGUGUAUGUCCGGUGAGAAGGUCAUUUGUUUGCAUAUGAUGAUUUUGAUAAGCUUGGAAUUGCAUUGGCAAGGCUAUUAUACACACUACACCUUAAGGAUGAUUGAAAGGUUUUGGCUAACACAUGGAAUAUGGUUGAUUCAGUUGUUUUGUGCUUGUGAAAAUUCUUUAUUAUUAUGAACUCUGAUUGAGAUUCUUUGAGGUCAUAGGGGGAAGCUAGUGGUUUCCAUGCUAUUAUUUUUUUUAAUGCUUUUUCUUUCUUUUACUCGAGGACUAGUAAAACGUAAGUUUGGGGGUAUUUGUUGCGAACCUAUUUUACUAUUUAUUUUACCCCGAAAGCUACAUUUUCACGAUAUAUUUGAUUUAAACGAAAGGAAUUGCAUGAUUUUGUGUUGUCAAGCUAGAUUAAUGAGAUGGAAAUUAUAUUGGAGCUCAUUAUUAGUUUUAAUUGAGUUAAAUGAGUCAAGUAUAAUUCUUUCUCAAUAUUUUGCCUAAAUAAAAUGAAUGUGUGUGCUUUUGGCAUAUUUAAGAUCACAUGUUUUUCCUUCUUUUUGGGUUUCAAAUACAUCAUGUUAUUUAAAUGUUAUGCAAGGUACAUGGCCACUUCAAGAAGAAGACGGCCUUUAUCCUUUUAUUGCACAGAAAAGAAAAAUGAAAGCUUUGCCUUCUCUUCUAUUCUCAUGAGCAAGCCGACACAGACACAACUGCAGCAGAAUAUGACCACUUACAGAUUUUCUAGAAGUUAGACGGCGAGAUGCAAGGAUGCUAUGACUGCAGCAAGUAAACUCAAGAUAAUAAGUUGGUGGUAAGCUUUCGUCGGGUUUUUUUUUUUUACAAGCAACGAUAGAUUGGUAUUUCAUUCAAUAUCUCAAACAGUACAUAGGUGCCUAAGCUUUCGUUGGUUACACAGAAGGAAAUGAAGGAAGACAAGAAUAAAAAGGAGUUUUGCUAGGCAUUAAUUUAUCAAUUAUUAGGCUGUUGGAGAAUAAAAGAGAAGACAAAAGAAGGUUUGGAGGUGGAUCAUUCAAGAAAGAAAAAGGAACGGCUUGGUGUUUUGUUUUGGCAUUAAUUUUGCAAUAUGGGGCUGAUCAUUAUGGAGCAUUAAGGAAACGGAAGAAUGGAGAAUUUGAACCACAUUAUUAUUAGUUCAUUAUGAGGUUAAGUCCAUUUCUUUUCCUUUGUGUAAACAAUAUCGUUUGUUAAACCACAAGAGCAUUUUUGCUAACCAUUCUAAACCUUAGUGUAUGCUCACAUACAUCUAACUAUUUUUUAUGUGUCAUUUCACUUAAUAUUUGUUAAUUUAAAAAAAAUUGAAAAAGUAACAUUUAAUGUAAAAUUAAUUAGAGUAAGUUGAAAGGACAUAUGAUAAAUGAUUAGAUGUAUGGUGAGAAAAAAUUAUCUCAUCCACCACUUUGAUUUUGCUUUUCGAAUUAAAAUUCUAGAACCCACAUUCCUUCAAUAAUGGAACCACUUCUAUGUGCUACACUUAUACAAAUGAUUUAUUUAUUUUUUGAUAGAACACUUAUACAAAUUAUGGUAGAAAUAAAAAGUAAGAAUUUUUUCCAUUCAUUUCAUUUUUUCAUCUGAAAUUUAGGAAAGGAAGCCCAAAAUUAAUUAAUUAUUUUUUUCUGGCAUAUUUUUUUACUUCAACACAUGUCCAAUUCUCGGAGUCUAAAAUCGCAACACAAAUGACAUUCCUUGGAUAACAAGUCACAAAAAAAGCAACUAAGAACCCAAAGAAAGAUUAAACAAACAUAACAACAAUGCCAUUGAGAUAACAACAAGAGAAAUUUCGAAACUAGAAAGGAUAUAACCAGAAUCCAAACGUUACACCCACGACUCAUGUAAUUUCCUCAACUCUAAAUCCCGGAAAAGAGCCAUGGAAAUUAUCAGGUUAGGCAUUGACAUAAGCAUUGAGAGCAUCACCUGUGAGCCUGCAAAUCCUCCACUCCUGCAAAAUCUUUGCCCCCAUCUCCUCAUGAAACUUUAUAGCAUUCACGUUUCAGUCGAGCACCGCCCAUUCCACUAUACCGUACCCCAUCCUCACUGCCUGCUUCACCACCGUCGAAAGCAGCAUUUUCCCGAGCCCCUUCCUCCUGUAGCACUCCCUCACAAACAGGUCCUCAACGUAAAACCCUCGUUUCCCCAGAAGGGUGGAGUAAUUUGGGAAAAACAGCACAAACCCAGCAACGACGGCGUCCCCGCUGUUGGACCUGAACAAAUUACGUUCUGGGUCAUCGAUGGGGAGGUCCAGAUUGAGGGUUUUGAUGGUGCGUGGGUAGGCCGAGUUGUUGCACUCAAGGUGAAGGUGUUCCACGAAAGGCGUCUGAGAGACCUCGAGGACGAAGAUGGUGAAGGAUUGGAACGGAUGGGAGGUGAAGAGGAUGGAGGAGAGGGAGGACUCGGUUGCGCCGAAGAGGUCGGUUAGGUGCUCAAAGACGGCCAGCUGGUGGAUGAGCUUGUGGAUGUGUGGGACGUCGGUGGGGAGAGCUAAGGGAAUUCGGUAGAAGAAUGAGUGGCCCGUUAGGGUCAAGCAUUGGGGUACGUCGUUGAAGGCCUCUGGGGCUGAGGUAGGUGGCAGCGGCGCGGCAGGGGCUAGGGGUGGGUUUGGUUCAAAUCGGUUCGGUUUUUUGCAAAAACCGAAACCGAACCGAAUUUCGGUUCGGUUUCGGUUUUUUUUUCAAAAAAUAUGAAAAAAAUUGAAAUCUUAAAUUUUAACAUAUCCAACAUAAUCAUAACAUAAAUAUUCCGACUAGACUUAAAGAUAAUGAAAAUAAACAUUUAAAGUUCAACUAGAAUUAUAACAUAAAGGUUUUUUUUUAAAUAUUUUGGGUUUAAAGUUUAACUGUAAAUAGAUUUCUUUUUAGACGAUGAUGAUGGAGUACUACCUUAUUCAUUCCUCUCUUUCUCUCAAUCUCUCUCUCUCUCUCUAUCUCUAUCUCUCUCUCUCUCUCUCUCUCUCUCUCUCUCUCUCUCUCUCUACAUGUAUUCUUCACUAGCAAUAAGAUAAACAUUCUAUAAUAUACUAUUUAUUUUGAUUAUUGUCUAGGUAACAAUUUUUGAUAUUUUCUUUAUCUUUAUGGUCCGAAUUUUUUUUAUCCAUAUAUGUGGUUACAUAAUAUAAUUUCUACAUUCUGUGUUUAGCUUCUACCACCAACAAAUUUAAUAUUUUUGAAUAUAUUGAUAUACUUUUCAAAAUUGUUAGGCCACGGAAGCUACUAUACUUGGCCAUAGGUGAGAAAGUUUGAAUUUUGUUUUUGAUCUCGUAGUGUUUAAUAAACUCAUGAGACUUUUAUACGCUGUUUGCUUUCCCUAAUCAACUGCAGUGCAGUUGAGAUAUGUGUUCUUAUAUAUGUGUUGCACUUAAUGAUAUAAACUGGAAAUAUUGCAUGUAAUGGUAUAAGUUCUAAUUUUUGUUGUAGAUGGAGAAACUGAGAAUACAAUUUGAAUUGGAAAGCAAACAAGUCCUACCAAAGCAGUAGUCCGAAGUAUCAUAUUCUAAUAUAAUAAAAUCAAAUAAUUAAAUAAAUAAAAUUAAAAAAAUAUUAAUUUAAUUAUUUCGGUUCGGUUCGGUUUGGUUUGGUUUCUAGACCACCAAAACCGAACCGAACCGAACCAAAAGAGUUUGGUUCGAUUCGGUUUUUUCAAUUCGGUUCGGUUUUUUCGGUUUCGGUUUGAUUCGGUUUUCAGUUUUUUUCGGUUUUCGGUUUUUUGAACCCAACCCUAGCAGGGGCCAUGUUUGUGGUUGGGGUUUGGGUAUUUGCUUGUUUAGCAACCGAGAAAAGUUGUCUACAGUUUUCCAGGAAAUGCGUGGGAAAAUGGCACUGGUGUGUAGGGGUGGUUCGGUUUUUGGGGUAUUGGGCUCUUUGGCUUUUCGGCUUAUCGGCUAUAAUAUUUGGUUGUGCAUUGUAUGUUGGAAAUUUUGAGUAGAAUUUUAUUGUCCCACAUUGCUUAUUAUCACAAUGUUUCCUCACUUUAUAAGGCUUUGUCCCUUAUAGAAAGUGAUUGGAGUGAUGGACAUUGGAGACUAAAAUUGGGCUCACCCUUGAGGUUGGGCUUUGGGGUGUAAUAAUUAAUAUCAAUUAAUUAAUGUUUAAUAUAUAUAAUUAAUUAUCAAAAGAUGGGGUUGGGCUCUGAAAAUUAAAUUCUAUAAUUAAUUAAUUUUAAUUAAUUUCGAAUUUAAUUAAAUUAUUUUUUUAUGAAAAGACUCAUAUUUUCAGAUGAAAUCUGAGAAACAGAUGGAGCAACACACCCUUUACGUUGAACAGUCGCCUCCCAAAAACAUGUCUGUUGCGAAUAGACAUAUGCUCACUAUAAAUACAUGCAUCUGCAUAUCAUUUAGAUAACUGAAAAUCAUCAAUCCUCAUAUACCAAGCAUACUGAGAGUACCACAAACAAAUUUGCCAGAAGUCUAGUUUUCCAGUGCUGGAAUUCUAACUUAGAUCAUUGAAUCCUGGUGAAGCAGACGUCCAUAGAACUACAAGCACUGAGUAGGGACGAAAUUUCUGUUUCAAGGACAUUGUGGUACGCAAGCCUCAAUCUUUGUUUGUUUUAUAUUUUUGUUUUAUUCAUACUCUGUUAAUUUUUAUAUUCGUAUUUAUUGUUUAUUAGCAUAAAUAAUUAAAACAUAGAUUGUUGACUUAUAACCAAUGGUGUGCAUUAUAUGAACUCCACAGGAAUUGACAUAACAUACAUGAGGACCCAAUCAAAGAAAAUAAUUGUUCUGAAAUGCAAUAUGCAACAGGAAAUGCAACUUUGCAAGGAUUGUGAAAGUAGCAAAGCGCCACCUACUAGAGGAAUGACAGUUAUUAGUGUCGUCUUCUUCCAUCCCUAACAUAUUAGACCCAUAGACUUCAAUUUUAAAUGUUUGUAGACAAGCAACCACUUAUAACUCAAGAGGCUUAAAUACAGAAGGUUCACAAGGACCAAUAAGUACAAACCGUACAGUAUUUGACUACUCUGCCAACAUCUUGUACAACAUUUUGAAAGUUUAGGUCACUCUUUUCCAGUCUAGCCCGUUGGCAUCACAAAUGUGGGAGACAAACAAUUCUAAUCCAUAUGCCUAUGUCAAUGUUUCCUGAUUACUUAAUCCUAUGCAAUGAACAAAAUAUAUUACGACUAGGUUAAAAGAACAGACAUCAAACACAAGUUCUAAUCCAUAAGUUCCUGAUUACUUCAUCUGAGAAAUUUACCUGUUGGUAAAUAAAACUCUAGCAUAGAAGCUGCAAAAGCAAAGCAAAAGAGCCCAGUUCCUUCGGACCUUCACCAAUCUGCAAAAACCCAAGAACCAUUAGACCAAUUAAAUAGAAUAUGUGAAACCAAACAAACCCUAAAUUUACAAAACCUAAUCUAGAAUUCGAAAAUUAAAUUUCAAAAACCCUAAAAUUACAAACCCUAAUCUAGAAUUCGUAAAUUAAAUUUCACAAACCCUAAAUUAAAUUUCAAACCCUAAAUUAAUUCCCAUAUUUAUUUACCUAUGUCUGAAUCUGAGAGAAAGAAUCACGUGAGAGAGUCAGAGACUCCUAAGAGAGAGAUAGCGAGAGAGUCGAGAGAGAGAGGGACCGGUGGUGGCUAUGGCUUUGUGUCGUGAAGGAAGGGUCCACCGUUGAAGAGAGACAACAGUUGAUGAUCCGUGUGGUGGUGGGCUAGUGACUGGCUGGGCGGAGUUGGAUUUGAGAUAGAUAAGAGGAUGAAAGGGCUUUCUCGGUGGCUGAAGCGCUGAGCUGAGAGACUGAGUGAGUGAGAAAUGAAAUCGAAUGUUCGAAACGUCACUCGAGUCCUCGACGGGGAGAAAGCCUAACAAGGAAUGGACGACAUAUAUUAAUUUGAAACAAUCCAACAGUUCAAAUUAACUCUAACUAUAAUUAAUAUAUAUAUAUAUAUAUAUAUAUAUUAUUUGUGUAAGUAUAUAUAUAUAUAUAUAUAUAUAUAUAAUAAUUAAAAAUAUAUAUUUUCGGUUCAGUAUGGGAAUAUCGAAAUAUUGGGAAGACAAUCCCGAUUCCCAUACUGAAAAUUCGAUAUUUUUUCGGGAUAGCAUAUCGAAAAUUUUGGGAAAAUCGAUUUGGGAUCUGUUUUUUUUUUUUCGGUUUGGUUCGGGAUUUUUGGGAAUUUUUCGCACCCGUACUGGUGUGUGAGUAGUGAGAACUGGGGUGGGGAAUGAGAGCGGUUUUAUAACUGAGCUGGUGGCCAGGUUUCAUUCCUAACCAUUUGUAAAAGAGAAAUGCUUAGACGGUCUUCAAUUUUUUAGUUAAAACGUAAAAUUUUAACUUAGAAAUAGUUUUUUUUUGUUACAAUCCUUCUAAAUAAAUUUUUAGUCGGAAAUUAUUAAAGAUGUUGUAGUCAUAUUUUGAAUAGGAAUGUGAUUGGGUAAAUCCUAGUAGAUAUGAGAAUGUAUCUUAUAUUCCUAUUAGGAGUAGAUUACCUAUUAAAUGUUGUAAUCCUAAAGGGAAAGGUUUUUACCUAUCAUACUACUAUAAAUAAAGGCACAAUGGGGUGAAUUAAACACACCUCACAAUUAAAUCAAUAUCUCUUCUCUCUAAGUGUAGCCGGCCUCCCUUCUUUCUCUCUAAACCCUAGAUCGUUCAAUCAAACAUGCUUACAACACGUUAUCAACACGUUCUUGCUAGAAGCUGAGGAAUGGACGCAUCGUAGGAGGAGACUAUCAUCCACCAAAUUCAAGGGUUUAUUCGUUUUCUGCUAAUCAGGUACGCUUAAAAUAAAAGAAGAUAUUUAAAAUGUCCACGAAGCAUGAAAACAUUCCCCAUGAUGCAUGAACCCCUCUAUGUUUAUAUUUUCCUUUCGAUAUAUAUAUAUAUAUAUAUAUAUAUAUAUAUAUAUAUAUAUAUAUAUAUACAUAUAUUUGUCAAUAUAUAUAUAUAUUUGUUUCAUGCAUUGCACAAUUAAAUUGUUAUUUGGAAUAUGUGAGUCAAAUUAUAUAAAAUAAAGGGUUUUUAUCACAAAUGGUCCCUGAAAUUGACUCACCCAAUCAAGAUGGUCCCUGAAAUUGAAAAUCGAUCAAUGUAGUCCCUGAAAAUGAUUGUUGCAAAUCAAUGUGGUCAUUCCGUCACAAUUUUGUUAAAAUUUUUGUUAAGUGCUGAUGUGGCACAUAAAUGGAUCCCAUAAAUUUAAUUAACUAUUAUUAUGUGAAUAAAAAAUAUGUAAAUAAUAAAAAACAAUUGUUAUUUUUUAUAAUUAAAAUCUUAAUAAAAAAAAAAGGAGAUGAUUGAACACUGUUCAUCUUCUUCCCCUCCUAUUCACACAAAUAUUCACAUAAAUGAUAAAAUUGGAAGGAGAAAAUCCAAUUCCCCAUAUGAAAGUCACAGCAAACUCAUAAAUCCACAAUUCAGAAAAGGAUCACAUCGCCUUCAAUCAUCAGAUUUUAAAGCUCUUUGAGGUUUUUUCAAAGGCUUUGCGUUGUGUCUCCAUCGCCACCAGUGAAUCCUCCACCUCCACCUCCACUCUAUCUCUCUAUCUCAUAAUAUCAAUUUCUCACCCUCAUCAUUCGAACACAUAAAAAAGAGUGAAGAUUUUCUUUUUUUUUUUCUUUCUUUUUUUGCAUUUCUGCCUCUUUUUGAUGGAGUGCACGGUAGCUACCGACCCUCGGAGGUACUCAAAGUCGAGAGUCAUGGUGAUGUGGACUAGCAACGGGUCGUAGGAGGACACCAUUUCUCGGUUCAACGAAACGGCGCAUUCGGCACCGUUUAGGGAGUCGAGGGCUUCGGAGAAUCGGGCCUAGGCGACGGAGCCGAGUUCGAAGGCAUCACUGUCGUUGAUCGUUCUCGUUGAGAAUGAGCGAGUCUCAAAGCAGAAGGGGGGAAAAGGAGGGAGAUACUGAAGACGAACAAAACAGCGGCGUACAGCCGGAAUGGGAGAAUUGCUCGUCGCUUUUCGUGGUAGGGGUUUGGAAUUCUGUAUUCUUGCUGGGUCUAUGGUGGGGUUUGUUGUUGGGUUUAUGAGAAAACAAAGAGAGUGAAGGAGUAACAGAAAUGGUGGGUGCGGCAAUCAUCUCCUCAUUUUAAAAAAAAAAAAAUUUUACAAUAUUUUAAUUAUAAAAAUAACAAUUGUUUUUAUUAUUUAAAUAUUUUUUAUUCACAUAAUAAUAUUUAAUUAAAUUUGUGGGACCCAUUUAUGUGCCACAUCAACACUUAACAGAAAUUUUAACGGAAUUGUGACGGAAAAAUCACAUUGAUUUGCAACCACCAUUUUCAGGGACUACAUUGAUUUAUUUUCAAUUUCAUGGACCAUUUUGAUUGGGUAGGUCAAUUUCAGGGACCAUUUGUGAUAAAAACCCUAAAAUAAAUUAGAAGUAAAUUUGGGUUUCCUAAACCCUAAAGGAAAUUGGACAUUGUAUGACACCACCUCUGUGGCAUAACAUCAGCAGCAGCCCUCUGGGCCUUGCUGCACCUAUUUGGACCCCCAAACCUUCGGCCUGAUUCACUGGCAUGGGCUUGAAGCCACAGUUCUACCUCUAAGGAGGCUCGCAGUUUUCCUAGAUCCAGUUCUACCACGACAAGCUUUACUUGUUGGGCCAUUGUCUCGCACGCACCCAGGCCCGCAGAGCUACUCCCUUCGGCGCUAGCCCACUUGAUUGGGCUUAGUUUUUCUUGCGGCUCGCAACAUAGGAAGCCAGCCUAUGCAGCUAGGCUCCCAUACGAACUUACACUCCAGCUCACGGGGCUGGGCUUUGUCCUCACGUGCCUCACCUCACAGGCCAGCUGUCGCUGGGCCUUGACCCGCACCCUCUUGAAGCCCAAACCUGCAGCUUGGGCUGCUUUUUUUUUUCCUCACCCAAGCUCGUGGCUUACAGUCCACCCUCGAGGCCUUAAAGCCUUGCCUACUCAUGGCACCCAACCUAAAUAUUUUUAGGGCUAUAUUUUCGAUCCAAUAAUAUUAUUUAGCUUCUACAAUCGACCCUGUAUGGCCCGAUUUAUUGAAUUAAUUAAAAGUGACCCGCAGUCCAUUAAUCUGAUAAUGAAUCCAAAAUUAUUGACCUGAAUAUCAUUUUUGGACAUUAACAAUUCAAUAAUUUAUUUUUAUACUUUGAACCGUUACUUACUUUCAUAGUAACGAAGCUCUCACACUUGAGUUCCCGAAGAACCUCAAAUCCACUAUAUUCAAAUUAGUAUAUUGCAUUCUGUGUUUCUUGCAGGAACCUUUCAUUAUGAACUAAUUGUUCAUAAAACUAAAUUGAUCCUAUAGUUUCAAAUUUAGUGCCUAUGAAACCCAAAGUUUUCAUUCAAAACAUACCACUUGAAACUUGUAGUUUUCAUGCACAAAUUAAACCAAUACAUGUCUAUAGAACCUGCAUGUUAUACGAUAUAUGUCUAUGGCUUACCAUAUGGCUACUCACGUUUUUCCCUCUAUUUUAGGGACAUGUCGAACUUGAACAAGCUCGAUUUCUUCGCUCUAGAAGUCUCUGGAAGAAACUAUAUGAAGUGGGUUCAAGACAUGAAGCUCCAUCUGACUGCAAAGGGCAUUAGAGCCAUCAUCGAGACACAUAUCGCCGACAAACCUGUUGACGAAACUUAGAAGGCUUUUGCAAUGAUCUUUAUUCGAAGACACAUCCAUAAUGCACUGUAGACUGAGUAUCUCACUAAGGAGGACCCACGCACCCUCUGACUUGCUCUAGCUGAUCGUUUCGAUUACCAGAAAGACAUAUACUUGCCUGAAGCAAGACACGACUGACAGUAUCUUCGCUUUCAGGACUUUAAGUCCAUGAAUGGAUACAACUUUGAAGUUUGUAGAAUCUGUUCACUGUUGAAAUUCUACAAAGUGGAACUAACCAAAUCAGAUCUCUUGGAGAAGACUUAUUCGACCUUCCAUGCCAUCAAUAUUAUCCUACAGCAACAGUAUAGGGCAUAUAAAUUCACCAAGUUUUCGGAUUUAAUCUCUAUUUUACUUCUCGCUGAAAAACUGAACCAGCUUUUAAUGAAGAAUCAUCAAUCGCGACCCAAUGGCUCGAAUGCCGCGCCUGAAGCACAUGCGACCUAUUCUAGCAAUCAUAAACGAUGAAAGAAUCGUCGUGGCCGUGACAAUAAGCGACAAGCCCAACCACGGGCCCAAGGUCAACAUAGUGCCACACCUAAGGCAAGAAAUGUGACCCAGCAGCGUCCACCACUCGCCUUUAAGACCCCAAACUUCAAGAACAAGGGCAAAACUCCCUUUCAGCCCGCUUCUACUGAACUGGACAUGUGCUAUUGCAGUGGAUCAAGGGAUCAUUGGUCACGCAUAUGCUAAGCUUCCCCUAAAUCUAUUGCCAAGUAUCAUUCACGUUGUGAGUCAAACUUUGCACAUGUGGAUCAUCCGGAAGAUGGAACUACAUCAAUGGAGAUAUCGGAUUUUCAGGAGGCAUCAACACCUAUGGAUGAAUAAAUUAGACAUGUUUUUAGGGUGUUUACCCUUAGUGGCCGAACCCACUAGGAGUGGCUGGCCUUACCCCCCUAGUUUCUAGGUUUAUGGUUUAAUUUUGAACAAUUUUUCUAAGUAUUUGGAAUAAUUUGUUUGGUUUUGGUUUGUUUUGAAUUAUGGAUUGUUAUUUGAAUGGAUAUUAUUUUCUCGAAUUGCUUAAUUGAAUGAAUGGACUUAUAUUUAUGCAUGUGACCAAUUCAAUCAAUUUAUUUCUAGGUAUGUCUAGUGGGAAAGUUAGUUGUCUCGCAGAUAGUGCAACCACGCACAUUAUCUUGUGUGAACGACACUAUUUUACUAACUUAAUACCCAAGAAAGUUCAUUUGACAACUCUUUCAGGCCCAUAUUGAAGGAUACGGAACGACACGUAUCAUGUUGUCCAAUGGUACAAUUUUAACCAUUAAGGAGGCACUCUAUUCUCCACAUUGCCGAGUUUUAGAGAUAUUUGAGAUAAUCAAUAUCAUCUUGAAACCACUUAAGAUAAUGGUUUUGAAUUUCUUUGUAUCACUUCAUACGAAUAUGGCCAGAAACAUAUUCACGAGAAGUUGGAACGUCUGCCAAGUGGGUUGUACAUCACAACCAUUCACGGCAUAGAAGCCCAAAAUGUGGCCGGCCUUAUGCUUGAGUUCUAGGACACUUUAUUGCUUUUGCAUGACCGUUUGGGACAUCUUGGACGUGACAUGAUGCGCCGUAUCCUCAAAUCUUCACACGGGCAUAAGUUACAUCCCUAUGUUGGACUCCCGCCAUGCAAAACGUGUUAUUUAGGGAAGUUAAAUACUCAACCCUCCUAUACAAAGAUUAUUCACGACCCUCCUAAAUUUCUUCAAAUGAUUCAAUGGGACAUUUGUGGACCUAUCCAACUAAUUUGCAGACCAUUUAGAUACUUUAUGGUGUUGGUUGAUACAUCGACAAGAUGGUCACAUGUUUGCCUAUUGUCCACACGCAACGUCGCGUUUGCUAAACUCCUAGCUCAAAUCAUUAAGCUAAGGGUUCACCACCCUGAUUAUUCGAUUAAGUCGAUUUAACUGGAUAAGGCUGGAGAGUUUACAUCACAGACUUUUGACAAUUAUUGCAUGUCAGUAGAGAUUGAUGUGGAACAUCAUGUACCCCAUGUUCACACCCAAAACGGCCUAGCAGAAGCUUUUAUAAAGCGCCUUCAAUUGAUCGCUCGAACUUUGGUUAUGAGAACCAAACUGCAGGUAUCUGCCUAGGGCUAUGCAAUAUUGCACACAGCUAUGUUGGUCCACUUGAGGCCCACCGUAACUCAACCACAUUCAUCGUUACAGUUGGUUAGUGGAUACGAGCCUGACAUCUAGCAUUUACGGGUGUUUGGGUGCGCCAUUUAUGUGCCAAUAACGCCGCCGCUACGUACCAAAAUAGGUCAUCAGAGAAAAAUAGGAAUCUAUGUUGGUUAUAAAUCAUGAUUCGCUACUUAGAACCCUUGAUAGAAGAUCUCUUUAUCGCACAUUUUGCGGAUUAUCACUUUGAUGAGACAGUUUUCCCAUCGUUAGGAUGAGAUAAGCAUGCUAACGUUCCCAUAGAACGCCGCGAAUUGUAGUGGUAUGCUUCCAUGAUGUCUCAUUUAGAUCCCCGCACUGCCUAGUCUGAAAUUGAGGUGCUACGAAUUAUAGAUCUUCAGAGCAUUGCUCAAAGCAUGUCGAAUGCUUUUAAUGAUCUAGCAAAGGUGACAAGAUCACAUAUACCCGCUGUAAACACACCUGCAAGGAUAAAUGUACCCCACGUACGUCAACAACCCACCUGGGAAGGCCGGACUAUCCCCGAAGGUGGGGAGGUCGCACCCUCCACGCGGUAAGGUACAUUGGCGGCUAGCCAAUCACCUGUUCCGACCCUAAAGCGUGGUAGGCCCUUUGGUUCAAAGGAUUCACAACCCUAAAAGAGGAAAAUUGCACCAACUUGUGACCCUAUUUUGAAUCUGACCAUAGCUCACUCAUCCGUUCCAACGCAUGAGGUUAUUCUAGAUUACAGUGAUGCUUCAGACGAAACAUGCUAGCCUCCCGAGAAUCACAAGAUUUCGGUCCACUACGCAGUAUUGGAUGAAGUUUGGAAUAGGAAUAAGAUGAUCGUCGAUGAUGUAUUCGCGUACUCAGUAGUUACUGACAUCAUACUUAGCAAUGACAUUGAACCAUGUUCCGUCGAUAAAUGUUGACGUAUAACUGAUUGGUCAAACUGGAAAUAAGCAAUCAAGGUCGAACCCGAUUCACUCGCGAAACGUAAAGUGUUUGGACGUAUCGUUCCAACACCACCACGCGUGAAGCCUGUUGGUUACAAGUAGGUUUUCGUGAGGAAGCGUAAUGAGAAUAAUGAAAUAAUGCGAUACAAAGCACACCUCGUAGCGUAAGGCUUCUCUCAGCACCCUGUGAUUGAUUACGAGGAGACAUAUUCCCCCGUAAUGGACGUUAUAACGUUCCGCUACCUAAUAAGUUUGGUAGUUUCUGAAAAACUGAAUAUGCAGCUUAUGAACGUGGUAACUGCGUAUCUUUAUGGGGAUCUAGAUAUGGAAAUUUACAUGAAAGUUCCAGAAUGACUUUCAUUGACUAGUUCAAAUAGUUCUAAACCAUGGAACACUCUCUCAAUUAGGUUGAGGAGGUCACUCUACAGAUUGAAACAAUCCAGGCGGAUGUGGUAUAACUGUCUGAGUGAAUAUUUGACAAGUCAGGGUUAUAUGAACAACAAAUUAUGCCUAUGCGUGUUCAUAAAGAAGUCACAUUCCGAAUUUGCAAUCGUUGCAAUUUAUGUCGAUGACAUGAACCUCAUUAGGAUUUCCACAGAGCUUAAGGAAAUUGCUGCACACUUGAAAUUGAAAUUUGACAUGAAUGAUCUUGGAAAACUCGAUACUGUCUUGGCCUGGAGAUCGAGAAUUGUUUGGAUGAAAUCCUAGUACAUCAAUCGAACUACACCCAAAAGGUGUUGUGUCGUUUUAAUGAGGAUAAAGCGAAACCUUCAAGUACACCCAUGGUCAUUCGAACUAUAGAUGCUAAACGAGAUCCCUUCCAUCCAAAGGAAGAUGAGGAAGAGAUUUUGGAACUUGAAGUUCCUUACCUAAGUGCAAUUGGGGCUUUAUUAUACUUGGCUCAGUGCACUAGACCUGACAUCUCUUUCGCUGUGAAUCUUUUGGCAAGAUACAGUAAUGCGCCCACAUGCGAGCACUAGAAUGGUGUUAAAGAUAUUUUCCGCUACCUCAAAGGUACAACGGAUUUGGGCUUGUUCUAUACCCGCAAAUCUCUGAGUUUUGCCGCCCCUUAUGGUCUUUAGAUUGAUCUUCGCCUUGUUGGUUACGCAGAUGCUGAAUAUAUGUCUGACCCACAUAGAGCAUGUUCUCAAACGGGUUAUGUCUUUACUGUUGAAGACACCGCUAUAUCUUGGAGGUCUACUAAGCAAACGUUAGUUGCGACUUUGUCUAACCAUGAUGAAAUUUUCGCCCUGCAUGAAGCAUUGCAUAAAUGCUUCUGGUUGAGAGAAGUUAUAAGACAUAUUUGAAGCACUAGUAGUCUUACAUCAGUCGUUGACCUUUCUAUGACAAUCUUUGAAAACAAUGCGGCAUGUAUCGAGCAGUUGAAUAAGGGAUACAUCAAGAGAGACAACACCAAACACAUAGCGCCGAAGUUCUUUUACUCAUACCAGUAGCAGCAGCAUCAACAUUAGAACAUUGAAGUCAAGCAAAUCCAUUCCCAAGACAACAUGGUUGAUCUUUUCACCAAGUCAUUGCCCAAGUCUACAUUUCAGAAGCUCGUCCAAGGAAUUGGUAUGCGUAAAUUAUCUGAGUUGAAUCACUUGUAGUUCUCUUAUUUAGAAGUUAUGUCUAACUCAGAGGGAGUAUCUAGAAGCAUACUCACAUGAUCUUAAUGUACUAUUUUACUAUGAUUAGAAGCAUUUUUCCCACUGGGUUUUUGCUACCUAACAAGGUUUUAAUAAGGCAUCCUCCUGGGAUGAUCAUACUCUGUUGAGUUCACUACUUUCGUCCUGUUUGGCGUUUGUUUUAAGACAUUAUGUAUACUUCUCACUUUUUUCCUUGGUCUAUGAGUUUUUCCCAUUCCUUGGGUUUUACCAUAGCGAGGCUUUUGUGAGUUUUACUACAAAUGCAUACUUCACAUAAAUUUGAGACUCGCGAUCACUCGUUGUGCCGAUGACUUCAUCAACUAUUCUACCUUAUCUGCUGAAAAUCUGAUGCGAUGGUUUGUUGAGUAUUUACACACUCAAGGGGGAGUGUUGCAAUCAUAUUUAGAAUAAGAAUGUGAUUGUGUAAAUCCUAGGGAAUCUGGAAAUAUAUCUUAUAUUCCUAUUAGGAGUAGAUUACCUAUUAAAUGUUGUAAUCCUAAAGGGAAAGGUUUUUACCUCUCCUACUACUAUAAAUAAAGGCACAAUGUGGUGAAUCAAACACACCUCACAACCAAAUCAAUCUCUCUUCUCUCUAAGUGUAGUCGGUCCUCUCUCUCUCUAAACCCUAGAUCGUUCAAUCAAAAAGACUUACAACAAAAGAAUGUAUUUAGGAUAAUUUUUUUCUUGAAGUAACUUUAAAAAAAAAAUUAUGUAGACUAUCCUAAUUUAAUUUUAUGAAUAUUUUAAUCUAAAAUUUUUAAUUCUUAUCAAUAUUGAAAAAUUACAAAACCGACACCAUAAAAGUUGUGAAAUAUUAUGAAAGAAUAUGAAACACAUGAAAUAAUUUUUUCAUUAGCCACUGGAUUUAAAUGUGUACCGUAAGAUCUUUUUUUACCAUUAAAUAUGGUCAUAUUAGAUCUUAGUCAUUGAAUUCAAUAAGUUUAUAAAUAUAAAUCUAAAAAAAUUAGAUAUAUAUGAUGGGCCGGCUCACUAACUCGGAGGAUUCAGACCUAAAGUUGCCCCCAAAAUAGAUAUUUGGAUAGGAUACGAAAAGUUUCUGUCAAUUUCGGUGAAAGUUGUCAAAAGCAAAAAUCAAUUUUGUUUGGAUGAUUGCAAUGAUUGGAUAGGAUACGAAAAGUUCGGGGCAACGAUGAUUAAAGAAAAAAAUAGGAAGUCUCCGCGCAAGUUCCCAAUUGUAAACAUUUGAAUAAAAAUGUAGAAAAAUUGAAAAAAUAAUGAAAAAGUAUUCGCUAGUGGAAGUUUGUUUAUUUUCCUUAUGCUCGUUGGUAGAUUGAGAGCUAUAACUUUCUUGGACUUGGUGUUUGUUGAAAACUUUCGUUUAGGGAUGAGUUCGGUUUCCAUUAGUUCUCCGGAUGAGUUCGGUUCCAUCGGUUCGAAUUUUUGUUCGGAUUUUCUUCCGAUUUUUUCGGUUCGAUUUGCAUUUAAUUCGGCUCGGUUUAAGGUUUAGACAAUGAUGAACGGAGCAUGAUCUCAACAUCUCAUCAUUAGCUAGACCAAAUGUGGUUGCUGCAGACGAAGCAUAUAUCUCUCAGAAGGAGAACAAUGACGAUCAUUUCAUGGGCAUAUUACUCGUUUGUGAUCUUAUCAUUAGCUAGUCCAAACGUACUUGGAACACGGGAUGAUUUUAGAGGUUUGUGAUCUUAUCAUUAGCUAGUCCAAACCUCUAAAAUCAUAAUUCGGUUAGGUUUGAUUUGAUUUUCUUUUUUUGAUUUUUUUAUUCAAUUUUGGUUCACUGUUCAAUUUGAUUUUUUUCGGGGUGACCCCUGUCGAACCCACCACUACUUUCCUCCUUGCCAAGUUCUGUUUCAACUCUUUUGUUUAACUAGCAUCACUUGUAUGAAACAUAGAUUUUUGUACGACUACGACUAACCAAGAAAAUAAACCAAAAUACAUUUAGGAUGAUCCAUAGGGCCAAAAUGUAUGAUAGUUUAACGAAAAAAAGUACUUUUGGAUUAAAUUUACUAACAAACUACACCACGAAGAUUUAAAUUCUAAUUUUUUUUUUACCGUAAAACUAUCUUUCAAUUACCUUAUCACCAUUUAUUUGAUUAAGGCCAAAAUUUUAUUGUUAUAAAGAACUGUGAAAGAAUACGAAAUAAUUAUAAUAAGAGUAAAUUGUAGCAAUUGUCUUUUAACUUUAACUCAAUUGGAGCAAUGAUCCCUUAACUCAUCAAAACGUGCAGUUAUAGUCCCUCAACUAAAAAUUCAUUACCAUUGGUCUCUCAACUUUAAUCCAACUGAAGAAAUUGUCACUCAACCUUAACCCAAUUGUAGCAAUGGUCUUUUCAACAUAACUCAUUUUAACAAAAUUCUGACAAAGUUGAUGAAAAGGACAAUAGCUACACGUUUUGAUGAGUUGAGAGACCGCAAUUGUAGCAAUGAACCUUCCAAUAUAACUUAUUUUGAUAAAAUUUUGACGAAAUUAACGAAAAGGGUCAUAGCUACAUAUUUUGAUGAGUUGAGGAAUCAUUGCUCCAAUUUGAUUAAAGUUGAGAAACCUUUGUUACAAUUUACUCUUAUAAUAAUUUACAAGUGAUAAAAUUUCAAACUCGAAAUGGAUAGGUGAAAACUCAAAACCUUCUUCACUAAUAUAAAAUGUGAAAGAAUAUUCACUAAUAGUAAGAGCAGUAAUUUAUGCAAUGUAAACAUUUUUUUGGUCCCAAAUUUAUGGGAAACAAUUUCUAAUUAUUCUCCAAUUGAUUAAAAGGAAACUAAUGAAAAUGGCUUGAAAAUUUUGAGUUUUAAUGAUAAGAACAAAAUAAAAGGUAAAAUAAAUAGUAUCAAAAUUGACUUUUUAAUGUAAAAAUAUGAUUUUUCGUUAAAAUAAACAGUACCAGUAGCUUUUCGUUAAACUUCCUUUAAUUAAACCCUACAAUUCGUAAAAUUAGAAAAUUAUACGAGUGGGAAGCCACACUCUCACUCACGCCCCUCCCCAGCCACCUCUGCUCGAACCAGUUGCGCACUCGCCCAUCCAAUCUCCGACCGAAAAUUUUCCAAAUUUCCCUCUCUUUCGAUUCCAAUCCACACAUUUACCGGAAUCACAAUCCCACUCCCGGACUCUCAGUCUGAUGUAAAGCUCGGCCAGCAGCACAAGCAUGACCGAUAAGCCACCAGAAGCACCAUCUCCGUCACCGCCGUCACCUCCGCCAUUAAGGCAACUCUCUCCCCAAGACUGGGAGUCGUUAAUCGACGACUUCCAGCACGGCGGCGCACGCCAGGACAGAUGGACCUCCGCUCAGCCGAUACUCCUCUCCCUCCUCGACCAAGCCCUCUCCUCCAUCGCCAAGCGCGACUUCCCCCUCAAGCUCCACGUCAUCACCUUCCUCGAGGAGUUCUCCGACCCGCUAUUCUCCACUGCCAUCGCUAACGACGCCGUUUCCGGACGCAAAGUCCUCCACCGCCUCAUCGAAACCCUACGCGCCCUGAUCCAGACACCGCCCGAUGGGGUCCACAUCACGUUCGCCCUCAAGGAGCAGAUGAUGAUCUCUGUCACCUCCGUCGUCGUCUCUCUCGACGACGACGUCGUUCCGAUCUCCACCGUCGAAUCGCUGGUGGAGCUGCUGUUAACCGUGAUCAACCGUCCCAAUCAUGGCGUCGACCGUCAGGCGCGUGCCGUGGCGUGCGAGUGCCUGCGCGAGAUGGAGAAGGCUCGGCCCUCCUUGCUCUCUGAAAUCGGCGGACAUCUCUGGAGCUUGUGCCAGAACGAGAGGACUCACGCCGCUCAGAGCUACAUUCUGUUGUUCACCACCGUCGUUCACAACAUCGUCAUCGAAAAUCUCAGCGUUUCAAUUCUCAAUACGACGGCGCCUUUGGUGCCGUUCAGUUCGCCGCAGAGCGGGUCAGGUAAGGAGGGUUCGGGUGGGUUGAAUUACAAGGAGCUGAGGAGGGCAAUGGCUUUUCUGCUAGAGUGGCCGCAAGUGUUGACGCCGUGUGCGAUGGUUGAGUUCUUGGCUCUGGUAAUGCCAAUGGCGGCGGCAUUGGAGCUCCAAGCUUCGAUGCUCAAGGUCCAAUUUUUUGGGAUGGUUUAUUCGUCUGAUCCUAUGCUCUGCCAUGUUGUUUUGACCAUGUUUCCGAGGUUCUGGGACGCGUUUGAUGGGCAGGAAGGCGACAUUGCAUGGAGGCUUGUGCUGCUAUCCAAAGAAUCGCAGCACCACUUGGUUUUUCGAUUGCUGGCGGUGCAUUGGUUGCUUGGUUUUGGUCAGUUAGUGUUGAGAAGGGAAGUAAAGAAAGUGAAGACCAUUGUUGAUAUGGGUUCGAGAUUCUAUCCGAGUGUGUUCGAUCCCCUUGCUUUGAAAGCCUUGAAGCUUGACCUGCUUGCGUUUUGCUCUGUUUGUGUUGAUGUCUUGAAACCGGAGAAGAGUGUUUCGGGCGAGGAUGGUGAGGUGAAUGAUAAGUUGGUGGUGAAGUUGUUUGAAGAUGGACUUGUUUGUGUAUCAGCAUUCAAAUGGUUGCCUCCGCGAAGUACUGAAACCUCGGUGGCAUUUCGAACUUUGCACAGGUUCUUGAUUGGAGCUUCGUCUCAUUCAGACAAUGAUCCUUCCACCACCAGAAGUCUCAUGGACUCCACCACUUUCAGGAAUAUACAGGUAGUUUUCUCUCUUCCUCAGUCUCCAUCUAUGUGUCCUACUACAGUUAUAAGCAUUGGAUAUGAAAUUUUCUAUUUAUGGUUGAGGAUAUUUUAGGUUUGGACAACAAUUAGUCCUCCCCUUAGCUUUGAGUUUGAAUUGAAUUAACAGAAUUUUAGAAGGAUAAUUUUGCGCUGUUUUACUCGGAUUACGGAUUAGCUGAUGUGUUUGGAUUCGUCGCAGUUCUUGUUAAACAUAUAUUAUUUAUUAGGAAUACUGCAAGAACCAAACGAUUGUUACCUGCUCAUAUGAUAGUGUAUGCAUUGAUGUAAUAGUUAUAUCUAGCAACUAAGAAAUUUUGAGGUCAUCUACCUCAAUAGUUGGUGUCUAAAAUUUGGGAAAACUGUUGAUGCUUCUAAAACUAAUAGUAUUUAUGUCUAAUAUAUUGCCAUUAGUUGUAGUGACAUUGUUUCUCCUAAAAAUAUUGGUUUUUCAUAGAUUUAGCGUGAUGGACUUUUUGUAUGGUCUUUUCCCCUUUUAAAGUAUGAAGGAUGAUGUUCGUGUAAUCGAGUUUUUCUUUUUUCUCUAAAUCCAAUCUAGCCUUGGAAGUGUUUGCUAUGCUUGAUGUUAAAUAAAAAGUAGCUGUAAGCUUUCCCUUAACUAUUGCUUGUGACUUGUUAAGUGGUUGUGUGAUGUGGAAUGCAUGUCUUGGUCGGGAUUAGAUGUUAGAAUGCUAUUAAGUGAUCAGUAAAGAUCAAUUGACACACAUUUAACGUAACAACAAUGUGCCAAAGAAAAAGGUAAAUCAUUCCUAUUAGUGUCUGUUUGGCACCGCCAAGGAUAUCAAAGUUGCUUAAUUUCCCAAGAAUCUGAUCACGAGCAUUUGUUAAGCUUCUUAUGGUCAAGGAAAAAUUAUUUGUGUAAAGAUGAUUUUGAUUGUUUGCUUCUUUGGUACUAUUACUUUUUAAUCUUAAUUAUGCAAUUGCUUCACUGGUCUUUAGUUCAGAGGAAAGUGGGAAGGUGUUUUCAUCCUUGUGUCUGUGCCAUUUUUAAUGUCUUUAAAUUUCUAUGUCCAGGGGAUGUUGGUGGACCUGAUGUUGGAGUGUCGGAGAUUGGUCCCUGUGGUAGUUGUUUUGACUGAUCGCUUGUUGGGUUGUCAAAAGCACCGUUGGUUGGGAGAGCGCCUGCUUCAGGCAUUUGAUGAGCAUUUGCUUCCAAAAGUGAAAUUGGAUUACAGUUUGGUUUCUUUCUUUCCAAUAUUUGAUAGAAUUGCUGAAAGUGAUACAAUUCCUCCUUGUGGAUUGCUAGAGCUUCUCACCAAGUUCAUGGCCUUCCUUGUUGGUAAACAUGGCCCAUAUACAGGACUAAGAUCAUGGUCUCAGGGAAGCAGAGUUCUUGGCAUCUGUCGAACCUUGUUGAUGCAUCACAAGAGCUCUCGAUUGUUCCUUAGAAUGUCUCGCCUUUUGGCAUUUACUUGCCUUUACUUUCCUGAUUUGGAGGUUCGUGACAAUGCAAGGUAUGAUUAAUAAACCUUCUUUUUCUCUCCUGGACUUUUUCCUUGAGAAUCGUACCCUUUCUUUUUGUAUGGGAACUAUAUACGAUUUAGUAAGCUUGGCAAUAGCCACAAUUAGCUGAUGACAUGUUGGUUUGUUAUGGUCUUCGACAAUUAGCUGAUGACAUGUUGGUUCGUUAUGGUCUUUCUGCAGGAUCUACCUUCGGCUUCUUAUCUGUGUGCCGGGAAAGAAGCUCAGGGACCUGCUGAAUCUUGGGGAGCAACUCAGUAUUUCACCGUCUUCACAUGCCAAUUUCAAUGUCCAGACUCCUCGCUUUUCUCAUAGUCUCAAGAAGUCUAAGACUGUCUCUUCAUAUGUCCACCUUGAGCGCGUAAUCCCCCUACUAGUCAAACAGUCUUGGUCCUUGUCUUUAUCAUCUUUGGGUAUUGGAAGUAGUGAUCCUGGUUACUUAGGAGGCAUCACGGACAUUGAACCCAUAAUAGAGGAUAGUGAUAUUGAUGACAGUAGUGAUGUCCAGAUUGCACCAGAAGCUCAAGCAAUUGAUGACAAUAAUAAUGUCCAAAUUAUCCCUGAAGAUCGAAGAAUUGAUCAACCACCGGAGCCAUUGCGUGUGACGGAUUCAAAGCUUUCGGAGAUAUUAAGAAUGCUGAGGAUGCAUUUCUCAUGCAUUCCUGACUUCAGACAUAUGCCAGGAAUUAAGGUUAGACUAUCAUGUAGUUUGAGGUUUGAAUCUGAGCCUUUCAAUCGAAUAUGGGGAGUUGAUUGCCAUGCUGGUGGUUCGAAUGAAUUAGAUGCCCUUCCUGCUAUAUAUGCAACAGUGCUAAAAUUUUCGUCCUCUGCAGCAUACGGGUCCAUUCCAUCAUAUCAUAUACCUUUUCUUCUAGGUGAGCCUCCCAGAAAAACUAAUAUACCUGAUCAGACCGCCUCAUUAGCUAUUGUUCCUGUAGAAAAUGCUUGUGGAGAAGAGGAACCGUAUAGAGCUCCUGUAACGAUUGAAUUGGAACCACGGGAACCCACGCCUGGUCUAAUUGAUGUUUCAAUUGAAACAAGUGCUGAAAGUGGUCAGAUAAUCAGGGGACAGCUUCACACAAUCACUGUUGGCAUAGAGGAUAUGUUUCUCAAGGCUAUUGUACCACCUGACAUCCAGAAUGAUUCCAUACCUGGUUAUUACUUAGAUUUGUUCAGUGCUCUUUGGGAGGCAUGUGGCACUUCAAACACUGCACGCGAGACAUUUCAGUUGAAAGGAGGCAAAGGGGUCACUGCUAUCAGUGGUACUCGGUCGGUCAAGCUACUUGAAGUCCCUGCAUCAUCCUUGAUUCAAGCUACCGAGCGCUAUUUGGCACCCUUCGUUGUAAGUGUGAUUGGUGAACCACUUGUUACUACUGUAAAGGAAGGAGGAAUCAUUAGGGACAUAAUCUGGAAGGAUGAGGCCUCAGAUUCGUCCCUUGAUAUUACUAGCUCCGAGACCAAUUUUCAUAGAGGCCCACUUCAUCUUACAUACGGUGAUGAUGCAGAGGAAAGGGACAGUCCUGUCAAUACCCGCAAAACAAAUAUGGGUAGCUUUCUUAUUUUGAUAUUUCUUCCACCAAGGUAUCAUCUUCUCUUCCAAAUGGAAGUGUCUGAUGUUUCAACGUUAGUACGAAUUCGAACUGAUCACUGGCCGUGCUUAGCGUAUACUGAUGAUUAUUUGGAAGCAUUAUUUUUGGCAUAGGAGUUUGUUUAUUUCUACCGUGCAAGCACGUUACAUGGGGAUUCUCAUCGGUGCGGCUCUAAGGUCAUUGGCAUUUUGUUCUAUAUCUUCUCUCCAUAUUUAUUCGUACAGAGAAGGGUAAAUUUUUUGCACCCAGAAUAAACUCUGCUGUAAAUUCAUCUCGAGUUAUUUUACCUUGUAUUCUUUUGUUGUAUUGAGAAUUUAGAUGUGCAAUUUUGGGGCGUUUUUCGUUGUGUAGGUAGGAUUUUGUAACCAAAAGGUUGAAGUAAUUUGUAAGUUGAUUCUUUCAUUGCAAUCAAUACAAAUUUUGUUGGCAUAUCUACUAGUAAAUACCUUGUGAAUUUCAAAUUUGAGCAAAAGAGUGCUUUGCUCUUUCAGGCGAGAGAAACUUAUAUAUACGCAAGUUUCCCUUGCCUGGAUGAUAAGUGUCACGUGAGGAGAGGAAUAGAGAGAGGAAAAUGAACCCCGUAACGUCAGAAUUCUUCUCCAAUGAGGCAAUAGGAGUGUCCGCAUAUACUUUUGUUCAUCGAGAGCCUUUUGUCGAAAAAUGAAAUAAGAGUAAAAAAAUAAUGACCUAAAACUAUUUGAGUGCAUUCAAAUAAUUUGGUGAACUGCAAACUACAGAAAAGUUAGUUCGUUCCUUAUCUACACCUAACCACAACAUCCAAAGAUUACGCGAUAUUUUAACCAAGAAAACAAGAAAAUUGUUACGUGAGAUCCUGAAGUCCUCUUUGACCCCCAUAAGCCCCUGCUGCUUAUGGCCACAUAUGUUACAAAAGCCAACCUCACCAAAUUUCCUGGCAGGUUAGCUCACAUAAUGCCCUGUUUUCCGGCGGUGACGGCUAUAAUCUGAUACAAACCUGAAGAAUAGGCCACAUCCCUCAACCUUGCACUGGUAUGGCCGCUCUCCGGUGUGCACACGUAUGUGCUCAGUGCGGGCCCAUGCCCACUUGAACGACAUGGAGCAGCCUUUCCAUGGGCACUUGAGGGGCCUAUCAUCGUCAUGCACACGGCUGUGACUCACUGCGUACUUGUGGGAACUGAACCUCUUGCCACACCCUUCAUGUGGGCAGCGGUUACGCUUGUGCAACAUUAGCUCCGCCUUUGCUGCAAACCUCAUCCGGCAGCUUUCUAUGUCGCACCUGUGAGACUUCCUUGCGUGUUCUUUCUUGGGAGGAACAGGAACAUCUGAAGGUUUCUUCACCUUCUUUGUCACCGGUUUCUCCUCCACCUCUUCUUGGAUGUUGUCCAUCCCACUUGUACUCGUUGCAUCUUUCCCAGCCCUUGGUCUCAACCCCUCACACGGCCCCCUAAUAAAUCCAUUGAAUUCGAGGUUAUCAUCUAUUAUUUGCUCCAGUUCUCUCUUUCUUUUUCUUCUCAUUUCAGGACUUGGUGCAACCGCACUUGAGGACCCGAUGUUUUCCAUCUCUUUAUCAUGUAGAGAUAAGCAAACCUUACCACCAUUGCGUAAGUCUGGAGCAGCAUGAGGCUUUCUUUUAGCUCUAGAAUAUGUUUGGAUUGAAGGAGAUGGUUGGCAUUUUGAAGUAUCUCGACUAGGAAUGAGUUCCUCAAUACCAUUUGUAGUACGAUUUUUCCACCCUUCAUCCAAGGCCAUAGAACCGCUGAUGUUUAUUGUUUCACAGGUCACUCUGGGAACCUCAAAUUCUUCAACCAAGCGAGGUGUGGGCUGCAUUUCUCUUUCUAUGAUGAGACUAAGUAUGGGUGCCUCUAUAGCUCCAUUUGUAGUCUGGACUUCUUGCUGCACUACAGUGUCUGAAGUCACACCAUCAUCUGUGCCUUCCACAGAAGAGCCUCCCCUUGGCACUUCAGAAGAUUCUUCCACUGAGAUACAAGGUUGAAUUAUUUCCAUUUGUGUCAAUGAAGUUGAGACAUGUCCCCCCCCACUCCUAUCUGCAGUUAGAAAUUCUUCACUGUGUGAAAUUGGACCAGGGCAAAAAUCUGCUGCAGCACAGAGCUCUCUUGAAGCUCCAGAAGUUCCUUCCACCGAAACAGGAGAGGGCUCAAUUAGUUGUCUUCUAGGACUUAAACUGGGUUCCUCAUUUUCUCCUUUCGGAGUUUUAAUUUCUUCUUCCAGUUUGAAUACUAAAGAUACAUCAUCAUUCGAGUCUUCAGCAUUAUGGGAACCACAUGGAAAUGGCGCCUUGUUUUUACUUCUGUUGGUAGUUUCGAUUUCUUGCUGCACUUCAUCAUCCGAAGUCAUGGAAUCACAAACUUCAUUGCUUAUGCAAGAUUUCUCUAGGACUGUAUUCACCAUCUGUGGUUCAGAACUUGUAACAAAUGAGUCGGCAGCACAUAAGUUUGUUGUCUCGGCAAGAACAGAUACGCCAGCCAUAACUUGGGACUGCCCUUCCGAUACUAGAUUACAAUUGUCACUGGUAUUGUUAAUUUUUUCCAUUUUCUGCUCCUCUAUUUGCAUUGGAACCGUUUCAUCAGCUGCAAUGACAGGUGGAGUAGCAGACUUUCUUUGACUGGCUUCUUCAAGUAUCCUCAUCUCAUCUUGCACAUCAGAAAUAUUUCUUGAUGCAAACUUACAACCUUCACCGUUCAUGUUUCUUUCUUCAAAACUGUGAUUAUCAACCUGUGCCUCAACACUACCAGCUAUUAACAUGGCAGUGGUAAGUGUAUCCACAACUUGUGAAGGAGUAGAGUACAAACUGAUAUCCCUGGUUGCUUCAGACAUCUGGACAACAGGAUACAUUUCAGACAUUCCGCUUGACGCAGAGGAAUCAAAUCUUGCACAACUGCUUGUGGAAUUCCCAUUGUUGCAAAUGUUGCUUUCUGAUGCCAUUCUACUAUCUUUACCACCCUCAACACCUGUACCAGGGUGCCCACAGACCCUACCCGCUCCUGUAGAACUCCCUACUUUAAGCUUCGACUUCCUUCUUGAAUAUUGAAUUAUUUUUUCUUCCCUCUUAAAAGAGGCCCCAUCUGACCUUCCACACACUACUUCAUCCUUUUCCUCAAUGUUCUCACAUGGUUUACAAUCCACUGGAUGAUUAAGCUUUUUAGAGCGAGAUCUUCUUGAUUGCCAUUUGACGGCCAGAAAAUUUGAGUUGGGACUUUGUUUGGAGAACAAACCACCCAAUGUCAAUGCAUGCCGGACUUGCUUUGAGGACGAAUUCUUUCUGACCUUGACACAGUAGCGUAGGUUGAUACCCAACUUCGAGGUCCAGUCUUCUCCACAUUCAUCACGUUCAUCAUCAACAGCAAGCUCUAUCAAAUUCAGAUCUUCCUGUGAUGCAUUAUCCAAUGGAACCUCAUUAUAAUUGAAAGAGCAACCAAUCUCCUCUGCAAUUGCUGCAGCCGGAGCUUUUAUUUUCUGAUAGUCUGCAGAAAUUCAAAUAGUAAAGCAUCAACUAACAAGAAGUAAAAACAACUUUGCAAAUUAAGAGAGUAUCAAAUACUAUUCUUCUAACCAAUCUUACCAGAAUGGCAAAUUACAAGCAUGUUCGCUCCACCUUUGCACUGCAACAGGUCCACAAUUUCCACAGCGUGCUCAAGGCAGAAACUCCUUGGUCUCAGAAACUUAUUAACAGUAUUCCAACCCCUUUUUAGAUUGUCUGUGGAAGGAAUUAGGGGAUCUUUCGCAGGUGGGAAAAAGUUGGGAACAGAAACGAGGUCCUCUUCUGCAGAACAAAGAAAAUAAUAGAUUUGAAAAUUUGCUUUCAUGAAGAACACCUGGAAACAACGUAUAACUCCCCAGUUCCUACUACUACUCCACAAUUGAAAAACUUUAGAACAUUAAGAAGCUAUCAACCCCAUUUACAUGAUACUACAAUACAGAGAACGACUGAUAAAGUUGACAAUUAGCUGAUUAAAGGUCCAAAAUCAGAAACAGAAGCAGCAGGCCAUAAACAUUGUGCACAGGAAGAUCCCACAAAUUAAUCACAGACGCUUCACAACUGGAAGUGUGAAGAAAUUGAGGCAGUUCUUAGUACCCCAAUGUCAAAACCUAUACAGCUGACUGACAGAACAUCACUAGACUCCCAAAAGACCUGAACACCAUUAUAUAGACAAAUAGCUAUUUUUGAGGGCUCCGAUACUGUAUACUGUUAAGUUAUAUCCACUUUGAAUUUUCUUUUCUCUCAAUCACUAAAACUAAAACUAGGAAGUUAAUUGUGAAAACCAAACACAUGAGCAAUGAAAAUGUGGAUCGAAAUUCCUAUACCUGUAACACAUCCCAUGACUGAUGCAUGACAGUCUGGAAACGAAUGAGACUUUUCAAGUCCUGAAAUGCCAGGGGAACCUUGAGCGGUAAAAUUUUCAGUUUGCAGUUUCAUUGAUGCUUUCUCAGAUGGUUGCACAACAGACAUAAAUGGAAACCCAAGUAUACCACAAGCCACGCAUGCCAAUGUGCCAGAGUCGACUUGAAAGUCCCGUGAUAAAUCAUCACUUCCCAAAUACAAAUCAUUCAUAUUUUCCAUAUACAAACUCAUCUCGUCAAUCAGCAUUUUCUGAUCAUUAUCGUAAUUUCCACACUGAAUAUGGGUAGCAUCUUCCUUUGGAUUCAUAUCAACAGCAGCACCACCACUGGGUGUUACGGAAUCUUUACUUGUAUAUGGAAGUAAAUCAUGGUUCCAUAAUACUGCGUGGUAACUUGAUUCUUUUCCAAGAAGGACAGACAACACAUUGUUUUCUUUUAAUAUAUCUUCAAUAAAAGCCUUCUUGACUGAAAACUCCUUUUCUUCCUUUUGCCGAUCUCUCCUACGCGAACUUCGCACACCUGGUAGUAGGGACCUUGGCACCCUGGAAUAAUAACAAAACCCCAAAACCAAACAUAAGCAACAACUGCAACUGGCUGGCCUAGUUGACAACUUUAUCAAGACAAGCAAAGACACGAUGCAGUUCUAUCUAACUGAGGCAUAGAAGAGUAAAUACAAAGGAACAACUUUAUCACAAUCACUAUUAUCCAUCAUCAAAGAACAAGUUCCAAAAGCAGCAUAUGACAUACUGAGACUAUCUUGUGCUCAAUGUAGUUUGAAUAAGAUGUUUAGCUGACCUCGAAACAAAAGACAUGGUCAAGAGGUAUAGCAGCUGUUGAUGGGAGAGCAUAGGAAGGUAAUUCAUAGCAGCUCUACGUACUGCAGCUUCUUUAGCUACUUUAAGCCAUUGUGGUGUUCCAAAGUUAGCAGCUUCCCCACAGUUAAAACCUAUAGUAUUCCAUCAAAGACUCAAGAUAAGCAACAAUGCUGAAGAGGCAAUAAAAAUUUGUUUCAAAUAACACCAGAAGAAAAUUUAUGAAAACCAAGGACUUGCAGACGAAAAUGGGAAACAUCAUGUGCAUGCAGAAAGAACCAUGCCAUUAGUACCAUAUAAGCUAUGAUCGAAACAAAUGAAUACAAAAAAUUCUAUUGCAAAUUUGCAAUUAUCAGAAAUCAAGUUUAAAUAUCUGCAAUAGAAGUUUGUUUUAAUGGAAGAGGUCCAUGACUUUUGAUUUUAUCAUGAAAGAAUUAGGAAGAAAAGGUACUAAGGCACAAGACCUUAUCAAACUCACGUGGACUGAAGACCUUCACAUUAGCAAUCAUGAGAAAUACCAAAAAAAAAGCUGGAUGAAAGGAAUAACGUUAACACAAAAAUUGGAAAAUAAAAACAUGGUGUAGUUUUUGUGCAGAGUUAAGUCUUGACCACCUCCUGUCUAUAUCAUCUAUAAAUCAGGACGAAAAGAAUAUGCUACAGCCUACAUGAAACUGGGAGGAUACCAAUGCAACUAAAGCGUUAGUUAUUUCCACCAAUCUGGGGUUUAGCUACUAGGAUUCCUUUAUUCCGUUUAGCCAUAUCCAAGGCCAAAUUCUCUGAUAAUGCAAGAAGAGCAUUACGUGGGAAUAUUUAACCUCUUUCUAUAGUCCAUUUAUCCAAGGCACAUAACCUCCACUCUUCCUGAUGACACAACAAUCCAAGGUACUUCCUCACUUAAACUUGCAACUUUGUCUUCGGUACGUUUGAACUAAUAGCUCAACAGAAAAGUGGAAUAAAGUUUUCCAGAUUAGUUGGAGGAGGUACUGUAUACUCUCACUAUAAUGUAAAAGUAACGUAAUAAAAGUGAUACGUGCUUAUGGUUCUAGAUCAGCUCUUAUGGUCAAUAAAUCUAAGUUAAUAGACAUUACCAGAGGAUAAAUUAUUUGAAGCCUUUUGUCAUUUCUGUUUCAUCUAUGGCUAUUAAAAUCAAGUUCGGGCUCAAAGGCUACUUCUAUCACAAAGGAAUUGAAUCCUUUAGGUACUUACCCCCUUUUUCUUGUAGGUUUGAUAGAUAUACCCUAUUCUUUGUAGAACUUCUAUACCCUAUGUUUAGUGUCCAAUGCACAUGAAAUUUCUGUCUGCAACAAAUGCCAAGUUGUAAGCAUUUACAAAGUAAAAACAGGGUUCAGGCCAAAAUGUAAAAACUAUCAUAUCCACCACUACGAUAUCGGUAAGUAAUAAACAAUGUACAGUAAUUACCGUGGCUGAAUCCUACAUGGUAAGCCCUUGGAAAAGUCACAACAAAUUCACCAGAGUUCUGUAUUAACCUAAAGAAGAAACCAGAAUGAACAAAAUUAGAACAUCAAAAAGACCCAACCCAACAGAGACUCAGAUCCACAGAUCAAAUCCGAACAUUCAGCAUAAAUAAUAAAUCCUCAACUGAGUUAACAUUAUAAAUAAACCGUAGAAGUAACAAGAAGGGGCAAAAGAAAGACCCACCUGCAACAAGGAAUCCCUGCUGCAACAACAGCCUCAGGUGAAAUUAAAGUUGUUUUAUUGCCCAAUAGUGAGAGAGCAGCUGGUAAUAAGAGAAACUGGACCUGAGUUACAAAAAGGCUAUGGAAGUAAUAACACUAAACAAAUGCUCAGAAGCUCAGAGGCUUUUAGUAAACACUGAAUGAACCAACCAUAUAAGAAUUCACAUACCUAGGCGGUCAAGAUUACUACCAAAUGCCUCAGUGCGAAUAAGUUCCUCAAAAUCAAAUGCAUAAUCGCCUGGAACAGAAUACCAAGUCUUUGAAGAUCCAGUGUGAAGAAAAUUCAUACUGUGAAGCUCAUGAUCUUCAACGUGCCAAGCAAACCAACUGAACAACAUGCCAAUGUAAACCAUAGGAGAAGUAACACCCGGGAUAUCAUCGGGCAUGAAACGAGUAAGUGAACCAGGUGAACGUGCAAUCACUUGUAAGUUCCAAGGACUGUUUGAAAGCUUCCAACCAGCAGUACCUUCCAUAUCACAACAUGAAUUUGGAUUUUUUUGCCUAGAUGAUUGGGGAGUUUCAUCUGCUGAUAAUAUUUCUGGAGCAGUAGAUGAUUUGGAUGCCUCUGAACAUGUAUCCGAAACAUUCAUAUGAGUAGCAUUCUUAACUUCCUCAAUAUGGGAGUUUCUUUCGCUGAUACUGAUAAUUUCACCUUUCUUGCUAUCAGAGAUUUCAUUUCUUCUCUGGUAGGAGUUCCUCUUCCGCCUCCGCCUGUGAGAAGAGCGGAAUUGUCCCACAGGCUCUUCAAAAGCAGACCCAGGCACAUCAUUUGCAUACUCAAUAUAUAUUGGCUUCUCAGAAGCUGCCUUCCAAAACAUUUCCUCUAUAACCAAUGGGGUAACCUCCUUAAUUGAACCUAGCAUGCUCCUUGCAAAAGCCCUAGACUUAGUUUCAAACUGCUCCAAAGUAUAAAUUUCCCCACUUUGCCACACUUGCUUAUCAACACCCGAAGGCGGAUUCUGAACUACUGCCCCUUUCACCUUUUUCACACUCUGACCCAAUUCUUGGUGCCUUGUGGUAAAGACUGCCCUAGCCUCCCCAUCAUUACCACCAUCCCCAGAACCCGUACUCAUCGGAGAACAACCCUCUAAAUAAUUUACAUCACUACCCAAUUCUGGACACUUCAAAAGUGACUUAUUCAAGUUGCUAAAAACAUAUCUUUUUGAGGGUUUUGGCAAUGGUGGGAUAAUCUUGCAAAUACCAAAUCCACUAGCUUCCUUCUCGAUUUUCGAUAUAUAAGCAAUCGGGUCUGCGAAUUCAGUAUGCGUCGGCCGGAAGACGGGUGCCAAUGGCAACCCUUCGAGCCAACUGGGUCUUUCAAAAUCACCCAUUUAUAAGCAAGAUUCACAUCCGCAGCAUAUCCUACUAUACAAGCUAAUGGCACAUUGGUUUUCAAUCACAAAAGCAUUGUUCCUUGAAGUUCCAAGACCAACCCAAAAACCAAAACCCUAUAAGUGCAAAGAUUUGGGCAAAAUUUUGACAGAAUCGUAGAAAUUCAGAACCUGUAAAUUCAACGAGACUGGUUGAUACGCAUACGAUUAGCCUUCAGAAACAACCGCCAACUGCAACUGCAAAUACAGAGAGAAAGUAGAGGAGAGAGAGAGAGAGGAGAGGAAGGAGAGAGAGGGAGAGGGAGAGAGAGAGAGAGGUUUUUCUAGGUUUUAAGCGACAUUCUUGAUGCUGAGUUUGGGAGAGGCGGGGGACGGCUAAAUUGCGCGGCUAGGACACAAGAGUCACUGUUAUUUUCUGGCCGUACGACUCGGAUUGGGAUGGGGUCGCGUUGCGGUUAGUCAGGUGUAACUUAUGCAUAGGCGCGCAUUUUGGCACGAAGCCGUCCUAAAGCCUUCAACAUUAGGCUGGAAAAAUGAGGAGAUAUCAAUUUAUUAAGCUCAUAAAGCUCAUAGACGAAUCACACUUUUAUAGGGUUAAUAUAUUAAAAAGUGUUGUAGGCCUAUUUGAUUGAACGAUCUAGGGUUUAGAGAGAGACAGGGGGCCGGCUAUGGUUAGAGAGAAGAGAGAUUGAUUUAAUUGUGAGGUGUGUUUGAUUCACCUCAUUGUGUCUUCAUUUAUAGUAGUAGAAUAGGUAAAAACUUUUCCCUUUAGGAUUACAACAUUUAAUAGGUAAUUUACUCCUAAUAGGAAUAUAAGAUACAUUCUCAGAUUCCCUAGGAUUUACACAAUCACAUUUCUAUUCUAAAUAUGACUGCAACACUCCCCAUUGAGUGUGUAAAUACUCAACAAACCAUCGCAUCAGAUGAAGUCAUCGUCACAACGGGUGAUCGCGAGUCUUAAAUUUAUUUGAAGUAUGCAUUUGUAGUAAAACUCACAAAACCUUGCUAUGGUAAAACCCACGGCAUGGGGAAAACCCAUAGACUAAGGAGAAAAGUGAGAAGUAUGCAUAAUGUCUUAAACAAAUGUCAAACUGGACGAAGAUAGUGAACUCAACGGAGUAUGAUCAUCCCAGGAUGGGUGCCUUAUUAAAACAUGGUUAGGUAGCAAAAACCCAGUGGGAAAAUUGCUCAUGAUCGUAGGAAAAAUAGCACUAUGCUUCUAGAUACUCCUCCUAAGCGAUUCAACUCAGAUAAUUUACACAUACCGAUUCCUUGGAUGAGCUUCUGAAAUGUAGACUUGGGCAAUGACUUGGUGAAGAGAUCGGCCAGGUUGUCCUGGGAACGGAUUUGCUUGACUUCAAUGUUCUGAUGCUGCUGCUGCUGGUAUGAGUAAAAAAACUUCGGUGCUAUGUGUUUGGUGUUGUCUCCCUUGAUGUAUCCCUUCUUCAACUGCUCGAUACAUGAUGCAUUGUCUUGAAAGAUUGUCGUAGGAAGGUCAAUGACUGAUGUAAGACCACUAGUGCUUCGUAUGGGUCCCAUAACUUCUCUCAGCCAAAAGCACUCACACGAUGCUUCAUGUAGAGCGAGAAUCUCAGCAUGGUUCAACGAAGUCGCAGCUAGCUUUUGCUUGGUAGACCUCCAAGAUAUAGUGGUAUCCCUAACAGUAAAGAUAUAGCCCGUUUGUGAACGUGCUUUAUGUGGGUCAGAUAGAUAUCCAGCAUCUGCGUAACCAACAAGGCGACAAUUAAUCCGACGACCAUAAAGGGCGGCAACACUCGAAGAUUCGUGGGUAUAGAAUAAGCCCAAAUCUGUAGUACCCUUGAGGUAGCGGAACAUUUCUUUAACACCAUUCCAGUGCUUGCGUGUGGGCGCAUUCGUGUAUCUUGCCAAAAGAUUCACAGCGAAGGAGAUGUUAGGUCUAGUGCACUAAGCCAAGUACAAUAAAGCCCCAAUUGCACUUAGGUAAGGAACUUCGAGUUCCAAAAUCUCUUCCUCAUCCUCAUUUGGACGGAAAAGAUCUCGUUUAGCAUCUAGAGUCCAAACGACAAUGGGUGUACUCGAAGGCUUCGCUUUAUUCUCAUUAAAACGACACAACACCUUAUGGGUGUAAUUCGAUUAAUGUAAUAGGAUUUCAUCUGAACAAUGCUUGAUCUCCAGGCCGAGACAGUAUCGAGUUUUCCCAAGAUCUUUCAUCUCAAAUUCCGAUUUCAAGUGUGCAGCAAUUUCCUCAAACUCUACAAGAGUCCCAAUGAGGUUCAUGUCAUCGACAUAAACUGCAAUGAUUGCAAAUCCAGAAUGUGACUUCUUUAUGAACACGCAUGGGCAUAAUUCGUUGUUCACAUAAUCCUAAUUUGUCAAAUAUUCACUCAGACGGUUAUACCACAUCUGCCCAGAUUGUUUCAAUUCGUAAAGUGACAUCCUCAGCCUAAUUGAAAGAGUGUUCUGUGGUCUAGAACUAUUUGAACCAGUUAAUGGAAGUCCUUUUGGAACUUUCAUGUAAAUUUUCGUAUCUAGAUCACCAUAAAGAUACACGGUUACCACGUCCAUAAGCUCAUAUUCAGUUUUUCGAAAAUUACCAAACCGAUUAGGUAGCGGAACGUUAUAAUGUCCAUUACAAGGGAAUACGUCUCCUCGUAAUCAAUCCCAAGAUGCUGAGAAAAGCCUUGUGUUACGAGGCAUGCUUUGUAUCGCACUAUUUCAUUCUUCUUAUUACGCUUCCUCACGAAAACCCACUUGUAGCCAACAGGCUUCACGCGUGGUGGUGUAGGAACGAUAGGUCCAAAUACCUUACGUUUCGCGAGUGAAUCGAGUUCGACCUGGAUUGCUUGUUUCCAGUUUAACCAAUCGGUUCUACGUCAGCAUUCAUAGACGAAACGUGGUUCAAUGUCAUCAUUAAGCAUGAUGUCAGUAGCUACUGAGUACGCGAAUGUAUCAUUGACGAUCAUCUCAUUCCUAUUCCAAACCUCAUCCAAUACUGCGUAGUGGACCAAAAUCUUGUGAUUCUCGGAAGACCAGCAUGUUUCUUCUUAAACAUCAUUGUAAUCUAGAAUAACCUUAUGUGUUGGAAUAGAUGAGUGAGCGAUGGUUUGAUUCAAACUAGGGUCACUAGUUAGUGCCAUUUUCCUCUUCUAGGGUGUUGAAUCCUUUGAACCAAGGGGUCUGCCACAAUUUAGGGUCAUAUCAGAUGAUUGGCUAGCCGUCAAUGUACCUUGUUGCGUGGAAGGUGCUGCCUCCCCACCUUUGGGGACGGUCCGGCCUUCCCAAGCACAUUGUUGAUGUACGUGGGGUACAUCUAUCCUUGCAGAUGUGUUUGCAGCGGGUAUAUGUGAUCUUGUCACCUUAACUAGAUCAUUAAAAGCAUCCGGCAUGCUUUGAGCAAUGCUCUGAAGAUUUACAAUUCGUCACACCUUAGUUUCAUACUGGGCAGUGCGGGGAUCUAAAUGAGACAUAGUGGGAGUAUACCACGACAAUUCGCGACAUUAUACGGGGAACGUUAGCAUGCUUAUCUCCCUUUAACGACGGGAAGACUAUCUCGUCAAAGUAACAAUCCGUAAAAUGUGCGGUAAAGAGAUCUUCUGUCAAAGGCUCUAAGUAGCAAACAAUUGAUGGCGAAUCAUAACCGACAUAGAUUCUCAUUUUUCUCUGAGGACCCAUUUUGGUAUGUAGCGACGGCGUUAUUGACACAUAAAUGGCGCACCCAAUCACCCAUAAAUGUAAGAUGCCAGGCUCGUAUCCAGUGACCAGCUGUAACGGUGAAUAUGGUUGAGUAGUGGUGGGCCUCAGGUGGACCAACAUAGCUACGUGCAAUAUUGCAUAGCCCCAGGCAGAUACCUGCAGUUUGGUUCUCAUAACCAAAAUCCGAGCUAUCAAUUGAAGGCGCUUUAUGAAAGCUUCUGCCAUGCCAUUUUGGGUGUGAACAUGGGGUACAAGAUGUUCCACAUCAAUCCAUACUGACUUGCAAUAAUCGUCAAAAGUCUGUGACGUAAAUUCUCCAGAGUUAUCCAAUCGAAUCGACUUAAUCGGAUAAUCAGGGUGGUGAUCCCUUAGCUUAAUGAUUUGAGCUAGGAGUUUAGCAAACGCGGCGCUGCGUGUGGACAACAAGCAAACACGUGCCCAUCGUGUCGAUGUAUCAACCAACACCAUAAAGUAUCUAAAUGGUCCGCAUGUUGGUUGGAUAAGUCCACAAAUGUCCCUUUGAAUCCUCUGAAUAAGCUUAGGGGGUCAUGAAUAAUCUUUGUAUAUGAGGGUUGAGUAUUCAACUUCCCUAAAUAACACGUUUUGCAUGGCGGGAGUCCAACAUAGGGAUGUAACUUAUGCCCGUGUGAAGAUUGGAGGAUACGGCACAUCAUGUCUCGUCCAAAAUGUCCCAAACGGCCAUGCCAAAGCAACAAAAGGUCCUGGAACUCAGGCAUAGGGCCGGCCACAAUGUGGGCUUCUAUGGCGCGAAUGGUUGUGAUAUACAAUCCACUCGGUAGACAUUCCAACUUCUCAUGAAUAUCUCUAAAAUCAGUAACUUCAGUGGUUUCAAUAUGAUAUUGAAUAUCUCUAAAACUCAGCAACGUUCUUCUGUAACGUGGAGAACAGAUUACCUCCUUAAUGGUAGAAAUUGUACCAUUAGACAACACGAUACGUGUCUUUCCGUAUCUUUCAAUCAGGUUGGAUGAGCCUGUGAGAAUUGUCAAAUGAGCUUUCUUGGGUAUUAAGUUAGUAAAAUAAUGUCGUUCACGCAAGAUGGUGUGCGUGGUUGCAUUAUUUGCCAAACAAUUAACUUCCCCACUAGAUAUACCUAGAAAUAAAUUGAUUGAAUUAGUCACAUGCAUAAAUAUAAGUCCAUUCAUUCAAUUAAGCAAUUCGAGAAAAUAAUAUCCAUUCAAAUAACAAUUCAUAAUUCAAAACAAACCAAAACCAAACAAAUUAUUCCAAAUACUUAGAAAAAUUGUUCAAAAUUAAACCAUAAACCUAGCAAAAUAGGGGGUAAGGCCGACCACUCCUAGUGGGUUCGGCCAUUAGGGGUAAACACCCUAAAAACAUGUCUAAUUUAUUCAUCCAUAGGCGCUGAUGCCUUCUGAAAAUCCGAUAUCUCCAUUGAUGUAGUUACAUCUUCCGGAUGAUCCACAUGUUCAAAGUUAAACUCACGACGGGAAUGAUACUUGGCAAUAGCCUCAGGGGAAGCUCGACAUACGUGUGACCAGUGAUCCUUUGAUCCAUAGCAAUAGCACAUGUCCAGCUCAGUUAAAGCAGGCUGAAUGGGAGCUUUGCCCUUUUUCUUGAAGUUUAGAACCUUAGGGGCGAGUGGUGGAUGCUGUUGGGUCACAUUUCUUCCCUUAGGUGCGGCACUCUGAUUCAGUGAGUUCCACUUUGCAGAAUUUCAAUAAUGAACGGAUUCUACAAACUUCAAAGUUGUAUUCAUUUACGAACUUAAAGUCCUGGAAGCGAAGAUGAUGCCAGUCGUGUCUUACUUCAGGCAAGUAUAUGUCUUUCUGGUUAUCGAAACAGUCGGCUAGAGCAAGCCAAAGGAUGUGUAGGUCCUCCUCAGUGAGAUACUCAGUUUGCAGUGCAUCAUGGAUGUGUCUUCGGAUAAAGGUCAUUGCAGUAGCCUUUUGAGCUUCGUCAACGGGUUUGUCGGCGAUAGGUGCCUCGAUGGUAGCUCUAAUACCCUUUGUAGUUAGAUAGAGCUUCACGUCUUGAACCCACUUUAGAUAGUUUCUUCCAGAGACUUCUAGAGCAGAGAAAUCGAGCUUGUUCGAGUUCAACAUGUCCCUAAAAUAAAGGAAAAAAAAUGUGAUUAGUCAUAUGGCUUAUAGACAUAUAUCGUAGAACAUACAGGUUCUAUAAACAUGUAUUGGUUUAAUUUAUGCAUGAAAACUACAGGUUUCAUAUGGUAUGUUUUGAAUGAAAACUUCGGGAUUCAAAGACACUAAAUUUGAAACUACAGGUUCAAUUUAGUUGUAUGAACAAUUAGUUCAUAAUGAGAGGUUCCUGCAAGAAACAUAGAAUGCAAUAUACUAAUUUGAAUAUAGUGGAUUUGAGGUUCUUCGGGAACUUAAGUGUGAAAGCUUCGUUUCUACGAAAGUAUGUGAUGGUUCAAAGUAUAAAAAUAAAUUAUUGAAUCGUUAAUGUCCAAAAGUGAUCUUCAGGUCAAUAAUUUUGGAUUUAUUAUCAGAUUAAUGGACUACAGGUCACUUUUAAUUAAUUCAAUAAAUCGGGCCAUACAUGGUCGAUUGUAAAAGCUAAAUAAUAUUAAAAUAAUAUUAUUGGGUCGAAAAUAUAGCCCCAAUAAAUAAUUGGGCUCAGGUUGGGUGCCUUGAGUAAAAGGCAAGGUCCAAAAAGGCCUUGGGAGUGGGCUGCAGGCCACAAUGGGUGGGAGAAAACCCUAGCCGCAGUUGGGUUUCAGUUUGGGCCGAGGGAGAUGGCAUGGGGCAAGGCCCAUCAAGGUUGCUGGCUUUUAGGUUUGGAGUGGAAAGCCCUAGCCGCAUGGGUUGGCUUUAGUUUGUUGCAAGCCGUGACACGGGGGCCCAGCAAGUUAGGCUUGCGGGCUGUGGACCAAGAAACUAGGGCUGCAGGCCCGUGGUUAUGAAGCAGCAAACCCAACAGGGGUUGGGCAGAUGGUCCAAAGGCAUCAAGGUGAUGCCAUCCCAUGGUAAUACCAAAAAAAAAAAAAUACCCAAUUUUUUUGAACCUAGGGUUUAGGAAACCCAUAUUUGCUUCUAAUUUAUUUUAUAUAGUUUGACUCACAAAUUCCACAUAACAAUUUAAUUGUGUGAUGGAUGAAACAAAUAUAUGAACAUAUACAAUAUAUAUAUAUAUAUAUAUAUAUAUAUAUAUAUAUAUAUAUCGAAAGGAAAAUAUAAACAUAGAGGGGUUCAUACAUCAUGGGGAAUGUUUUCAUGCUUCGUGGACGUUUCAAAUAUCUUCUUUUAUUUAAGCAUACCUGAUUAGCAGAAAAUGAAUAAGCCUUCGAAUUUGGUGGAUGAUAGUCUCCUCCUACGAUGCAUCAAUUCCUCAGCUUCUGGUAAAAGCGUGCUGAUAACGUGUUGUAGGCCUAUUUGAUUGAAAGAUCUAGGGUGAGAGACAGGGGGCCGACUAUGCUUAGAGAGAAGAGAGAUUGAUUUAAUUGUGAGGUGAGUUUGAUUCACCUCAUUGUGCCUUUAUUUAUAGUAGGAUAGGUAAAAACCUUUCCCUUUAGGAUUACAACAUUUAAUAGGUAAUCCACUCCUAAUAGGAAUAUAAGAUACAUUCUCAUAUCUACUAGGAUUUACACAAUCACAUUCUUAUUCUAAAUAUGACCACAACAAAAAGAAUUUUAUUGCCUGUGGAUGCAAAUUUCUUCCUCCUCGAUCUUGGACGAUUUUGCACCUACAAAACAAUUAACACCUUAGGUUAAGGCCAAGAGCCUCACGCGCCCACGAUGAAUGGGGGGGGCUUUGGCCGAAGAACCUCCGAUGCCAAAGUUAGAAUUUAGAGAGAAAGAGUGUUUAGAGAAUUUUGGGAUUUUUGCCAAAGUGUUGGAAUUAGCUUUUUGGUGAGAAUGGGAGUAUAUUUAUAGGGAUAGGAGGUGGCUAGGGUUUUUAGGUUUAAUUAGCCAAUUUAUUUGGCUAUUAAACAUAAAAUGAAUGUUUUGGUGGUUUUUUGUAUAAUUGGCUAAUAAAAAGGAAGAAAUGGUGGGAAAAGGUAGAAAAAAGGUAAUGGAUUAGGUUUUUCAAUGGGAUAGCCGGCCCUCUUGUGUUUUUAGGUUUGAGUGGAUGUUUCAAAUUGACAAUUAAGGGAUUGAUUAGGUAAUUAAUCCCUUAAUUAGUCAAUUAUUAUGAUUUUAUGAAAUAUGAAAGGAAUAAGUAUAUUAUUUAGCUAAUUGAUUAGCUAAAUAAUGAAAUGGGAAAUAUAUGAAUAAAUUAGGUUUUAAGUUGAUACCUAUUUUGGGCACUUUUGACUUGGUUGAAAAAAUGAUUCUCUACUGCUCGCGUGUAGGAAACCCGGUAUGCCUCGAGGGUAUUUUUGUCCUCUUUUGUCCAAAAGUCCACGUGUCGCGUAGUGAAUAUUUUUGACUCCACAUUGCCUAUCUACAAGAAUAAGAACGACACACAAAAUUGCAUGAAUUAUAGGGUAUUCUGUUAUGAGUCAUACAAAAAAUCUUUGGAAUGAGCAUAGGCUAAGGCAAGAGAUACGAAUCUCAAAUAGUCAAUUCGGGUUUAUGUCAGGGUGCUCGACUAUAUGGAGGCAAUCUAUCUUUUACAAAGAUCGAUGGAAUGAUAUAGAGAUAUGCAAAGUAUUUGCACAUGAUUUUUAUAGAUUUGGAAAAAGCGAAUGAUAGGUUCCUAAGAGAAUUUGUUUUUUGGAUUCUAGUGAAGAAAAUAGUACGAGUAGUAUAUAUCCAAGCAAUAGAGAAUAUGUAUGAUGGAGCAAGGACUAUAGUAAGAACUCAUGAAGGACAAACUGAAAGUUUUCCCAUAAUCAUAUGUAGGGUUACUCCAAGCCUUAACUUUAAGUCCUUCCCUUUUUUGAAUUGGUAAUUGAUGAGUUAACGGAACAUAUUCAACACAUGCAAAUAACAUGCAACGCCCCGCCCCGAAUUAUUUACUUUAUUUUGGAAAAUAAUAAUAUUAGUGAUAGGCCCAAACUAAACUCUUGUUUAGUUUGCUACUAUUUCAUUUAUCUUACUUCUAAAUCUCCAAAUGAUUUAAUUCCUAUAAAAUUAACCAUGUUUUUAAUUACCAUAACAAUCAAUUAAGUUAUCAACUUAAUUCCCCAAAUUCUUCUAUCAAGCAACCUCUAAUUCAAAGAUUAAUUCUUGAAUAUUUAAUCUUACUGGUAUUAUGGUUGCAUCUAACGUCUCGUUAGACUACCUACGUACCCUAAACAGGGAUCAAGUCAUUCGUAGUUCACUAAUUCCAAUUCUAUUAAACUUUGAUAUUUCUACACAUAACUAACAAUUACCAUCUAGCUUCAAACAAGUGUAUUACAUUAAAUGCUUAUUAAAUUUAGUUCCAGAACAUCAAAAUUAGCUUAAAGCUACGGCGUCGGCCAUCUCGAUUCGCCGGAAAAUAUCAACUAUCUCCAAAAAUUAGCAAAUUUUACAACAAAGUAGAUCUCAGUGAUAGGAACAACUUUCAUACCUGCGGCCAGACCUAAUUUGGCCAGGAAACACCUCAAAUCGGCCACGAACAGUCUGAAACCCUUGAAUUUGGGUGUGUUCAAUUCGACCUCAAAGUAACUCCGACGUCCCUAAAUUUGUUUGGGCUUUGUUCCACAUCUCAAAGGGAAUUUAAUGGUGGUGGAAUUGGACUUGAGUAGUUUCAAAUUUUGGGUAAUUCGAACCCAAUGCCAAUGCACCCCACUGUGUGGGUUUUACCCAUUUCAAGCUCAAAUCCCAUGAUUUUUUAGGUGUAGUAGGAAGAUGGAAGGUUAUGGAGGGUUUUACAAUGGUUAAUUUGAUGUAUUCGUCGGAAAAAGGGGUGAAAUCCCGCCGGAAAAAAACAAUAGGCCCGAUCCAGUCGGGUUCGGUCCCUAGGUCGUGGGAUCCCCCUCUCCCCCUUCUUUCCUUUUUCCUCCUUUCUCCCUUCCCCAUUCGUCGUCCCCCCUAUUCUUUUCCUCCUUUCUCUCCUUUCUAUUCUUUUCUUUUAGUCACAACCAUCCAUUUUGUUUCUUCCUUUCAUACCAACCACACACGUGGCUUUUUCACAUGGCUCCAGAUUUUCUGGAGCCUUCUAAAGAUAUUUAAAAUUUCCAAUUUAUCCCCGACUUUAAACGUUAAUAACUUCUUCGUUAAAACAAUGUUUCACGAACGGUUUACGCCUACGCGUUCGUGAGAUCGAACUUUAUUCAAGAAUAUAAAUUGUGACCUCGAAGGGUCUACGGAUUUUAAAUAAUUAAUUUCCAAACUUUAAAUCUCGUAACUAGUUUAAUUUAAAACUUAACUCACAUCAAUUAUUAUAAAUUCUCGAAAAACCAAAUAAAAGCUCAAUACUACAAUUACGUUAAUUGUAAUGAUUUUCCAAUUCUAUUUUCAUAACCAUAAAUCGAUUUAUUUUCGAUUUUCUCUAUGUAUUCAUAAUUAUGAAUAUUUAAUUCAUAUAUUUAAAUUUUCAAGGUAUUACAUUCACCUCCCGUUAAAAUAAAUCUCAUCCCCGAGAUUUCAACCACUGAAUAACGAAAAGGGAUUUAGAACUAAUCCCACCGUUCCAUUCGUAUGGAAUAAAAUCAUAAUGAUUCGCACCAUAUACACAUACUCUUAGCAACAUUCACUAGCAGGACAAAAUAUCCUAAAACCAAUAUCAUAAAUUCCAGCCAUAAUUUUGGUUGGCUGGAUAAACACCAGAAUAUCAAACCCCUUCAACCAUCGGCUAGAUAAAUACUAGCAUAAUGAUCGCAAUAUAAUAAAUUUCAACCAUAACCAUCUUCCGCCAAUUUAAACAUCAAAUCUCAAGCCAAAAUCAUCAAUGGUUAGGUAAUUAUCAAAAUUUAAACCAACUCAAUCGAAUUGACAAAUCACAUAUCAAGAAUUCCAACUAAAACAUGGAACGAAAUCAAAAUCUCACUCUAUGAUUUUUCUUUAUGUCCACAAUUAACCAAGUUACAUAUAGUAAAUUUAAAGCCUUUUAAAUCUUUCUUUUUAUUGUUUCUCUUUCCAAUUGAUUUUAAGUGCCGCCACAAAUGACAUAAUUUAGCGACUCGUACUUCUAGUACACCAUUCACAUUCUAUUAACCAAAGAAGAUAAUUUAUAUAUAUAUAUAUAUAUAUAUAUAUAUAUAUCACAACUCAAUUGGCCAACACAACUAAACCUUAUUAAUCGCAUAAACAUAAGAACAUGUUUUCUUCAUUUGUUCAGUUCGUGAUAUCGAAUCCAACAACGACGACUCUUGAAUAUGGCAAUCCAAGCAAUAAUUUUUGUAAUUACAAGCUUUCCUCAUCCAUUCUUUUUAUUGAACGUUAAAUAUAACUGGUCAAUCAUCAAUACUAAACGAACUCAAACUCUCAUUCUAGGAUUUCAUUCAUAUCCACAAUUACCUAAAUUAUCCUUAGUAAAUUUAAAAACUUUAUCUUUUUAUUCUUUCUGUCAAUUUGUUCCUUUUUUAAAUUGUUUCAAAAUGUAACCACAGCUCGAAUAAAUUAGUGAGCUGUACCUCCAGGGUACUAUUUACAUUUCACCAACCAAAGAAGAGAAAUUUACAUUUUACGACCCUAACGGUCAACGGAAUUAAUCCUUACUAAUCACAUAGCCAAGAGAAUAUAUACUCGUCAUCAGUUUUGUUUGCAAUAUCAAUUUCCAACAAUGACCACUCAUGACCCAUGGCAACCAAAACAACACAUUUAUAAUUAUACCCUUUCUCCAUCAAUUCUUUCCAUAAUUCAUAAAAUUUCACGUCUCACACAACUGAAAAUUCGUUCAUAUUAAAUGAACCCAAAAUUUCAUUUCAUAAUUUUACUCAUAUCCACCAAUAAUAAAUGAAGAAAACUUCAUGGUCUUUCCACCAUUUUAAAUUAUAAUAACCAAAUCAUAACCUCAGUUUAUGAUUCCAUUCUCACUUGAUGAAUUUUCAUACGAAAUUCCAUUCAUUGCUAUUUGGAAAUUUACCUUGUAAUUAUUGGUAAUUCUGUUUCCCACUACAUCUGGCAACACGAAUACCAUAAAUUUUGGCCUUAAACGAUAUUGGCAAAAUCAAAUAUCAAAUUUCAAGCCAUAACUAUCGUGGCUAAUAGAGUACUAGAAUUUUCACGCCAUAAUUCAUUAAUGGCAAACCAAACCAAUCAACUUUGAAAUUUAUAAACCUUCCACGUCAAUUCUCCUCAUCAAGCGCAAAAAAAAAAAAAAAAAAAAAAAAAAAACUCACUGGAAAACAUUUAUAUUAAAUGAACUCAAGAUCUCAUCCCAUAUUUUCAUUCAUGUUCAUUCAUGUUCAUCCAUAACCACAACAUAUACUUUUUAUUCUCAUUCGAUAAAUUGUCAUGACUUUAAUGAAUACCAAAUUUCCAACCACAAUUAUCAUCUGCCAAACAUUUUAAAUUUCUAGCCACACAUAUCAUUGUCAACACAAUGAUUCCACCACCAUUUUCUUUUAUCUCAAUCAAUGACUAAUAGGCUGGAAAAUAUUGUAAUAUAAUUGGCCAAUACACAUCACACUUUCUUUUUCUUUUCUUCUUCUUCUUCUUCUUUCUCUUUUUUUUUUCACAUCUACGGGCCUUUUCCGCCUAAUUUCACAUUCACAGGCCUUUCUCGCCGCAUUUCACAUUCACAGGUUAUUGUGCCCAAUUCACAUCCAUGGGUCAUUGUGCCCAAUUCAAUUUCUCAAGUGCCAGGUAUAGUACAAAUUCUCCAUCUACUUAACACCACCUCAUAAUCACCUUAACAUUCAACAUUUUCACAAUGCAUAGCAUAAUAUCGAUUCAAUUCAAAAUUAAUCCAAAACCUUAAUCAAAUGCUCAACUUCAAAGCUAUAAUAUGAAUACGAUAUUUUAAAAUUUUGCUACUCCCAUUCAAUUCAAUUCAAAGCAUCAUAAUUCACAAUAUAUGCAUUCCACAUAAUUUCCGUCAUAUUCAUAGACCUUAUGAAAUAAUGCAAUAUCAAUACAAUUUAUAAUUCACACCCACAACUUAAUAAUAUCUCAUAAUACAUAACAUAAUGUCAAUCCACUUCAUUUCACUUCAUGGUGAUUCUCAACAUAUAUAUAUUUCACCUAACUUUCUCAUUACCCAAAGAACUUAGAAAUAAUGCAUUAUAAACGCAAAUCACCAUUCCCAUUAACGAAACUUUCAUAUUUAUUAAGGAAAUUGCACCACAAUCAUAAUACAAUUUAUAUAUAUGACACACACAUAAUAUAACAUGAAUGUCAAUUUAAUCACAAAAAAAAAUGUGAAUUAAUGCAACCACCAUGCAUAACAUAAUCCACACCAAUAAGAAUUCAAGAACAUUGCAUAUUAUCAUUUGCUCUGAUACCAUUUGUAACGCCCCACCCCGAAUUAUUUGCUUUAUUUCGGGAUAUAAUAAUAUUAGUGAUAGGCCUAAACUAAACUCUUGUUUAGUUUGCUACUAUUUCUUUUAUCUUACUUCUAAAUCUCCAAACGAUUUAAUUCCUAUAAAAUUAACCAUGUUUUUAAUUACCAUAACAAUCAAUUAAGUUAUCAACUUAAUUCCCUAAAUUCUUCUAUCAAGCAGCCUCUAAUUCAAAGAUUAAUUCUCAAAUAUUUAAUCUUACUGGUAUUAUGGCUGCAUCUAACAUCUCGUUAGAUUGCCUACGUGCCCUAAACAGGGAUCAAGCCAUUCGUAGUUCACAUAUUUCAAUUCUAUAAACUUUGAUAUUUCUACACAUAACUAACAAUCACUAUCUAGCUUCAAACAAGUGUAUUACGUUAAAUGCUUAUUAAAUUUAGUUACAGAACAUCAAAAUUAGCUUAACACUACGGCGUCGGCUCCCUGGGCACGUGUCGCCGCCCCAAUUCGCAGGAAAAUAUCAACUAUCUCCAAAAAUUACCAAAUUUUAUAGAAAAGUAGAUCUCAGUGGGAAGAACAACUUUCAUACCUGCGGCCAGGCCCAAUUUGGCUGGGAAACACCUCAAAUCGGCAACGAACCGCCGAAAACCCUUGAAUUUGGGUGUGUUCAAUUCGACCUCAAAGUAACUCCGACGCCCCUAAACUUGUUUAGGAUUUGUUCCACACCUCAAAGGGAGUCUAAUGGUGGAAUUGGACUUGAGGAGUUUCAAACUUUGGGUAAUUCAAACCCAAUGCCGCUGCACCCCACCGUGCGGGUGCUACCCAUUUCAAGCUCAAAUCCCAUGAUUUUUUAGGUGUAGUAGGAAGAGGGAAGGUUAUGGAGGGUUUUACAAUGGUUAACUUGAUGUAAUUCGCCAGAAAAAGGGGCGAAAUCCCAUCAGAAAAACACAAUAGACCCGAUCGGGUCAAGUUCGGUCCCCGAGUCGCAGGAUCUCCCGCUCCCCCUUCUCUCCUUUUUCCUCCCUUCUCCCUUCCCUAUUCGUCCUCCCCCUAUUCUUUUCCUCAUUUCUCUCCUUUCUAUUUUUUUCUUUGAAUCACAACCAUCCAUUUUGUUUCUUCCUUUCAUACCAGCCACCCACAUGUCUUUUUCACAUUGCUCCAGAUUUUCUGGAGCCUUCUAAAGAUAUUUAAAAUUACCAAUUUAUCCCCGACUCUAAACGUUAAUAACUUCUUCGUUAAAACAUCGUUUCACGAACGGUUUGCGCCUACGCGUUCGUGAGAUCGAGCUUUAUUCAAGCAUAUAAAUUGUGACCUCGAAGGGUCUACGGAUUUUAAAUAAUUAAUUUCCAAACUUUAAACCUCAUAACUAGUUUAAUUUAAAACUUAACUCACAUCAAUUAUUAUAAAUUCUCCAAAAACACAUAAAAGCUCAAUACUACAAUUACGUUAAUUGUAAUAAUUUCCCAAUUCUAUUUCCAUAACCAUAAAUCGAUUUAUUUGCGAUUUUCUCUACGUAUUCAUAAUUAUGAAUAUUUAAUUCAUAUAUUUAAAUUUUAAGGGUAUUACAUAACAAGGGCCUCAAGGAAAAAUACUAUAGGAUGGCAAUAAGACCAGCGAUGUUUCAUGGCACAAAUGUUAGGCGGUCAAGUAUCAACGCGUGCAAAAAAAGAGUGUAGAUGAGAAUGCUUCAUAGGAUGUGUGGGCAUACGAGAAAUGACAUAAUUAAGAAUGAGAAUAUCCGAGGUAAAGUAAGAGUGGGCCCAAUUGAAGAUAAGAUGAGAGAGAAUCGAUUAAGGUGGUUUGGAUAUGUGAAACCGAAGAUCUACAAAUGUUCUGGUUAGAAAAUGCGAUUACGAGAUAGAUGUUCAAAGCAAAAGGGGUAGAGAAACACAUAGAAAGACUUGGAAAUAGACUUUAAGAAAGACUUGGAGUACUUGGAGCUAACAGAAUACUAGACGCAAAACUGAGUGUAGUGGUAUUUUAGAAUUCAUAUAGCUAACCUCAUUUAAUGAGAUAAAACCAUGUUGUUGUUGUUGUUUAUAUAAUACUUGUCCCGCAUUGACCGCCACAUUUUAAAAAAAAUUCUAAUAAGAAAUUAAAAUGAGAUGAAGAUAAUGAAAAGAAAUUAUGAAUUGUGGAGAGAGCUAGAGUUUAUAGAGAAAAGUUAGAAGAGUUAUGAGUUAAAACUUCUAUGAUCCACUUCAUCGAUAAAAACAAGUUAUCAAAUUUUUGGCUUGAUCAAAUUACAUGGCAUUGAUAUAGCAUUGUUUCAACAUUUUCCAUAUGAUUAAAUCCAGUUCCAAUCAGAGAGUAAAUAAAUUAUCUAGUCUUUUGUCUAAUCCAAAUGAAGGAGGAGAGGUGACAUAUCCAACUACACUUCCCUAUUUUUAUAAUAAUGAUAUUAUCCACAAACUCAUUUUUACUUUAUACAUAUCCCUUGUUUAAUUAUAUCUUUUGACAUUCUUUAAUUCAUUCAAUUUGAUAGUCAGAAAUUAAAAAUAGUGUAAAAGAGAAAAAUGCAUGUGUGAGUUGUGCAAUUGAUUAUUAACGGAAGGCAGCAUGGGCAAGGCCAAAGGAGCUUGUAUUAGUUUACGAUGAGAGAGAAUCUUUGUCGGAUUCUCUUUGUGAGGAUUUCGGGAAUCUUCCAAUCAUAUACAUUCAUUGUACAUCAUGCGGUUAAUUUUCGUUAGGUACUGUUUGUAUUCAAUUUUAAAUAAAAAAAAUUACAAUAAUUUCUGACCGCACGAUGUACAAUGAACCAAUGUAAUUUAAAGAUCUCUGAAAUCCUUCCAAAAAAGGUCCAACGAGAAUCCUGACUCGUUAAUGAUAAUCUGCAGCAAGGUUAUCUCAGAACAAAAGUACGUCACGAUCAUGCAUGGAAUAUGUAGAAAAACAAACAAGGACAGUACUUUCAUCAAAUAUCAAGUCGACGUGUUUCAAUACGUACUACUUAUAUAGCUUUAUUUGGAAAAUGACGGACCAAGGUUAUGUAAUCGUUGGGUGCAAUCAUGCCCAAAAAAGUAAAAAUAAAAUGAUAAGUAUUCAUUUGCACCAACUUUGUUCUCUCUUUUUUCUUCAUAGAAUUCAAGUCAUUCACCAUUUACCAAAUGGCUAAAUCUCAAGAUUUUAGAGAGAUUAAUCAGCGGGUUACUUCUAAUUAUACCAAAAUUGUUAUUAAAUUGCAUCGAGUUACGGGCUUUCAUAACAAAAUUUUUGUUGUAAUUGUUAGUGAAACCACAUAAUAUAACUUUAUAUUUUAAUUUAUUAAUUUUUCUAUAUGCUAUUCUUGUAUGCUUGGCACUCUAAAUUUUUCAUUUUGCACUCCAAAAAUUUUUAUACUUAAAAAGGAAAAUACAAUUAUGAAGAGUGCAAAAUAAGAUUUUUUUAUUGCCAAUAACAAUUCCGUAAAAUAAUCACAAUUCAAUAUAUAGUGACAAAUUAAAUCUCUCCUAUUAAAAUUCGCACUAAUGAAAUCUCUCACAUUUAAAAUAAUCACAAUUCAAUAUAGUGAAAAGAAAAAAAUUAUUAAAUGCUAAUGUGUCCAAUUUUUUAGAAAGGAAAGUUGUUUGUUUGUUUCUUUAGAGUUCUUUCUAUUUCCUGCAGAUUAUAGUUUUACUCAUAUGCAAAAUAAAAAACUUUCUAAAAACGUUAACAUUAUUUUUGUACAGUGAAAAAACUAUGAUUUGCAGAUAAAUAAGAUUAAUAACAUCUCAUUACAUGAAGGGAUGCAUUUAUGUUAAUAUGUACAUCCCAGAAACCCUAGAAAUUAAUACGAUCAUAUCCAUGAUCUGCAUCUCUAGCUAAUUACAACUACCACGGAAUAUUCAGCUACCCUAUAUUUCUUGGUAAUCAAAAAAUAAUUCCAUGUACGUGGUCACAUUAUUAACCAACUUCAAAAUUAAAAGUACGUAAAUGAAUCUAAAAACUGCAAGUACGUAUAUUGUACUUGCAGUUGAGAGGUACAAUAUCAAUCAUAGGUUGUGCUUAUUAUUCCAGAUCCAACCACCAUUCCCAGAGACCUGUUUGCAGUAAUUCUCACAUGCAAUCUCGCAGAUGGGAAUGUUUGCGCCUUCCUCUUUCAGGCACACUGGCAUGCAUGGCUUUGCACAGUCUGAGAGCGCUUCACUUCCCUUCAUGCUGUAGCUGCACACCAUAACAACUAGCACACAGAUAACAAUGGCAGGAAUUGUAUUGGUUUUAGUAUUGGCCAUUUUGGUCUUUUAAAACUGGGUUUUUAUUGGGUUUUUGGUAAGAUUUGUGAGGGAAUUGGUCUAGUUGGUGAAAUAUUCAAUCUGCGAAUAAGAACUUGGAUGUGGGUUUGGUUUAUAUAAGGGGUGGGAAGUUGCGCAUGCUUAGGAAAGAAAGAUGCACCUCAUGGUUUAGGUGGUUUGGAGCAAAACAUGGUGAUGAAAAAUGAGGUUGGGGUUAGAAAUUAGGAUCAUAUAUUUUUGGUUGGGCUAAAGAAAGAUGGUUAGUUUUUUUUUGCCAAGAAUCGUGAGGUUAAAGUGCGUAAUAUUAUUAACACUCCUCGUUUAGGUUCUGACUCCAAAUCGAACUAGCAAAAUGGCCACACACUGUGAGUGGAAAAUAAUUAUGUUUUACUAUGAUUUUAUAAUUACAACAAAAGAAGUUAAAAUUCAAAAGAAUAAAUAAGAUCCCCAAGCAUAAAUAAGCGCCACCAAAAAAAAAAAAUAGUGUGCUCCUCUAGUCUUCCAUGGUGUUUUCUUCUCCACCUGUUUCGAUUACUCUUCUUCUUUUGGUUUUGUGAUUCCGUUUUCCUCUAGCAUGAAUGAAAUUUUGUAGAACUUGGGAUCAUGAAGAAGGAAGCUGAAUUCCCGCAGAACACAUCUAUCACCUUCUUUCUCCCUCUUAUACCUCUUUCUCUCUUUAAAUAACCACAUUAGACUAAAACAAAAUUCUAGUAUAAUCAAAGAUAUGCAACCCCUAAUUAAUGCAAAACCUUGAUUUGAUAUUUUUCAUUUUGUUCUCCCUUCAUGCCAGGAAUGAUCGAUUGUGUAGAGAGGUUUGUGUGAGGAGGAAAUUUGAUCACAAAAUGGGAAUAGAAGAUAGACGUGGGUGGGUUGGUUUCUACUGGCGGUUCACUCCUUUUUUCUGUAAAUUUUUUAUUUUGUAAUUCUCUUAUUUAUUAGGAUGUAUUUUUAAAACAUUGAAUUAAUUGUUGUUUCACAUAUUUAUCCAUGAUUUAUUAACUUGUUUUAUUGGGGUGUAAUCAUAUACCGAGGGUUAUAAUCGUUAUUUUCUAGAAUUUUGUUUUACAAAAAAUGUUUGCUUAUAGAUAUUAGUUAUUCAUUUGCAAAUUUAUUAUCCUAGUUGGAAGACUAAAUGAUGCAUGAUCACACAUUCUUAAAUUUAAAAUUUAAAAUUGAAAUUGAACAAAUAUGGUCAUUUAUUAAAAAUUGAUAUCAAAUCAAAGAUAAGUAACAAUGAAUUAAAUAUUCAUUUGUAACUGUACAAAGUUUAAUGAAUUAUUAUUAUUAUUAUUUUUUGUUUUUUUCAAAAAUGAGGACAAUUGGUAGCAAAUCACGGUUAUCCACCUCCUCCGGAGGUUGGAAAGAUUCACAGAGACAUUUCAGCCUCCCCUGACCAUAAGUCUACCUUCCUCAUUCAAUGAAUUAAAUUUGGGGUAUGGUCUAAUUAAUGCCGUCACGCCUCGAAAGGAACAGUGGUAGGCUUUAUUGACAACGCAAUGUUAUAAUGCCGCCCUAAAAAGAACCAAAUUAUGUCGUAUAUAUUUCACAACUUAUGAACAUAGUGUGAGGUUUUGGAUUUUUCGGGUUUCAAUCAACAAAAUAUGAUUAAAUUGGAAAGGGGUACUUUUUUUUUUCUUUUGGUAUAGUUCACAAAUGUAAUUGUCACUCAAAAGCAAAUCUGAAAACCCAAAAAUAAAUCUUCUCAUGGGGUUCAUAGACUAAUCGUAUAUAAAAUAUUAAAGUAUCUUCAAAUGAAAUGUCAAAAAGUACACAUCAUCAAUAACAAGAACAAAAGACAACAUAUAGUGUUUUCCAACUGAAAUGUUACUUCUUAUGUGACAUGACGAUGAUUGAUAGCAACUUCAACCACGCCAAGUUUGCCCAAUGCUUAACAUACUUGGCCUGACAAAACGCAUCAUCGGGUGAAGUACCUUAAGUCGAUGAACCAAAAUUUCAUCGGGCAAAUGUUCACACAAAAUACCCUAGAGUCGCGUUCCAAAAUGAUCCUUAUUAAUGCAAUAUGGCAUGCUCGAAACUCCCUUCUUUGGGAAGACAAACCUGCAAGUCCGGCCUUGGUGAGUCAAUUAGCUGGUCUCUAUGGGUGCGUUUGGUACGCGGGACGGGACGGGACGGAACGGGACGAGGCGUUCCGUCCCGCGUUUGGUGCGCCAAAAAUGGGUGGAACGGGCCGUUCCACGGGACAGAUUUUGGGUGUUUUUGCGUUCCACCUCCCACCCCUGGAACGGGUUUGUUCCACGUAUGUGGAACACAAUGUUUUACCAUUUUAAGACAAAUAUACCCCAUGUCUUUUUCAAAAAUUACACCUUCGUUCCGUCCCGUCCCGUCCCGUCCCGUCCCGUCUGCGUACCAAACGCACCCUAUCUCUCUGACUACCUUAGUGCUCAGCCUGCUCCUUUGCAUCGACUUCAACAGUCUCCUUCCCAUUGGUCUCCUCCUCUAGUUCAUUGGAUGAAGAUUAAUGUGGAUGGUUCCUUUUGUUCGUCUACAAACUUUGGGGGAGUCAGAUGUGGUAUUUCGCGAUGGUGUAUGCUAGAGGUUUCAUUUGCAAGAUACCUUAUGUGACUAAGCCUCACACGGUGGAGAAAUUUUUAGUUGUGACGAGAACACAAGUGGUACACCACGUGUUUUAAUAGAAGUGGUGGGAAAUUUUAUUUUUUAAGUUAUUAACUUUUUAACACACAUAUCCCAUAAUUUGUAUAGUGACACGUAGUGUAUAACCUCGUGUACCUGCCACAUUGAAAAAUCUCUCCACACGGUGGAGAUCCUAGCUGUGUGGAUGCAAAUUUCCGCCUUCUUCUUCUUGGACAAAAUUGCACCUACAACACAAUUAACAUCUUAGGUCAAGGUCAAGAGCCUCACGCGUCCACAAUGAAUAGGGGGCUUUGGCCGAAGAACCUCCGAUGCCAAAGUUAGAAUUUAGAGAGAAAAGUAUUUGGAGAGUUUUUUGGGAUUUUUGCCAAACUGUUGGAAUGAGUGUUUGGUGAAAAUAGGAGCCUAUUUAUAGGGCUAGGAGUGGCCGGGUUUUCAAGGGAUUUUGUGGUUGUGGUUUUGGCUUAAUUAGCCAAUUUAUUGGCUAAUUAAGUAUGAAAGAAGUAAAUGGGAGGUUACAAAAUUAUUUAUUUGUAUAAAUGGGGUAAUAAAUUGGAGAAAAGUGAGAAAGAUGAGGAUGAAAAGGAAGUGGCCGGCCCUUUAACAAUUUUAGGUUAAAUUGUAUAAUUUAAUAGGUAAUUAAUGGAUUAAUUGGGUAAUUAAUCUAUUAAUUUACCAAUUAAUAUUAUUUUGGAGGUUACUUUGCAAAAAAGGGAAUUUGAUGAGAUGAAUAUUGAAUUGUUACCUCUUUGGAGCAUUUUUUAGCUGCUCCCGUGUAGGAAUCCCGGUGUGCUUCAAGGGUAGUUUGGUCAUCUUUUACUAAAAAAUCCACGUAUCGCCUUGUGAUUAUUUUUGGCUCCACAAAUGCCCCCAGACCUGCUGGGCUGCUUGUAGAAAAUGGCAGCAGGUGUAGAGAUCUUCUUGCUCUAGGAAACUUAGGACUACUUCCUAUUUUGAUGUAGAUUCCCUCUUUAAUGUGAAAUUAGAUCUUUCUAGGAAAGGGAAAUAAAUUUCCCUCAAAGCCUAUUUAAGUCCACCUUAAGUGGGUUGUUAAAUCAACUUUGGAGAGCGAUUUAUUCUACCCUAUAAGCGAGAGAAAGCUUAGAGGAUAUUUGUUCCCCCUCCUCUAGCAAUCUUCUACAUCUUGUCCAUGUAAAGGACCGUCUUUCGUUGCUUUCUUUGUCUUCUCCGCGUCGCACCGAUGUAAGGAAAACUUAAUUCUCCUUAUCUUCUUCUUGGGAGGUGCUGCCACGGGGCAGCCGUAGGGCGGUGCGGCACGUCGGCUGGCAGGGGCCAGGAGUCGGCUUGGCAUGGGCCAAGGAGGUGGUGUGGCAGGGGCCAUUGUUUGUGUUGCUCGGCUUGAUUGAAGCCAAGGAUUGGCUCGGCAUGGGCCGAGGAAGUGGCGUGGCAUGGAUAACGGUUUGGGCUGCCACGUCUAGGCUGCUUGCCAAAAAUGAGGAAACUGCUUGAGUUUGAUUUUUCAGCUGCCAUGGAUGGAGCAGUCAAGGAUGAAGCUGCCAAGAUCGGAGUUGCUGAAGAUGAAGUGUCGGAUGAAUGAACUGUUAAGUGUAAAAGUGGAUGCUGCUCCCUAACCAUUUGUUACUUAAUUGAUAUUUAAGCAUUCGAUCUUUUGAACUAUGUGGCCUUCUCGCAUUGGAGAGCUUACCCAGAUGGGUGUCAGGGAUUUAGUUUACCGUCUCACACUGGAGAGCAAUUAGUUUACCCUCUCGCACUGGAAAGCAAUUGGUUUACCCUCUCGCACUGGAGAGCAAUUAGUUUAACCUCUUGCGCUGGAGAGCAUACCCAUAUGGGUGUCGGAAAAUUGGUUUACCCUCUCACACUGGAGAGCAAUUAGUUUAACCUCUCGUACUGGAGAGCAGACCCUUUUGGGUGUCAGGGAUUUGGUUUACCCUCUCGCACUGGAGAACAAUUAGUUUAACCUCUCGUACUGGAGAGCAGACCCAUAAAGGGUUUUGAGCAAUUGUUGUGGAUAGCAGUUGAGCCAAACUUAUGAAUAACUUCUUGAAUCUUCAUUGAGAAUAAAGAAAUAAAUCAACUGUGCUGGAAGGUAGAAACUGCAUAACAAACUGGAUAUUCUUCGGCUUGUGAAGCCUUGUUUGUCGAGUUGCUUAAGUCUUCGAACUUAUUUGGAAAAAAUCCAAAACGUGGUUCAGGGGGUGAUGGGAACUUCCCCUGCUUGUGUAGGCCGUUUUGUUGACCUGUCAAAAUACUCGUCGCAUCAGCCCUCAUUUGUCAGCUUUUCAAGGUACUGCUUCCACUUUAGGCAGCCGUUGGUAGUGUGGCCUGGUCCUUGAUGGAAUGCGCAAUAUUUUGUAUGAUCCAACCUGGUAAGAUCGAUUUUCAUAGGUGGUGGCAAUUCGAACCAAGGUUCAUUCUUGAGCUUGCGAAGAAUUUGGCCGAUUGGAACUGUGAACCUGGUGAAUGUUUCAAGCGCUGAGUCUUCUCUGGUCGGGGAACGUUCUAUGUGCUUCUUUUCUGACUCGUUUUUGUUAGACUGCUUGGCCUCGUCCCAUAAUGCAUGUUUUUCUGCCAAAGCAUACGAAGCUGCUAGGGUCAAUUCUUCUCCCAUAAUCAAUUUUCUGAAUAAAGGAUGUUCGGUAGGAAGCCCAUUUCUGAAUGCUGCCGUUGCUAUGUCUUCAUUGCAGCCAACUAUCUUGGCCUUCUCCACUUUGAACCUCUUGACAUAGUCGCGAAUUGUCUCCCGAUGGUCUUUUACAAUGCUGAAGAGAUGGUCAGAUGUCCUUUUGAUUGAGCGGUUAGACGAAUACUCCUUAGUGAAAACAAAGGAAAGUUCGUUAAAACUCUGGAUCAACUGCGGCGGUAGAGUGUGAAACCAGUCUUGCGCCUCGCCUUGUAGAGUUGUGGCAAAAAUUUUGCACAUAAGCAUAUCGUUGUUCCUGUAGAGGAUCAUGGUACUGCAAUAAUACUUGAGAUGUCGAUCCGGAUCUUCGUCUCCCUUAUAUGGAAUGAAGUGAGGCAUAGUGAACCCGUGAGGUGGAUCUAUCCAUUCGAUCUCAUUCGUGAAUGGUGACAUACUUAUGUUGGUUAUGUCUGGUCGAAGCGCAUCAUCAGCAACCUCGUUUCGUUGGAAAUUGCGCAGUCGUUUAGUUAAGAGCCUAUCAACUUCUUCUUGAAUUUGCCUCUGCUGGGGCAAUGGAAUUUUCAACUACCCCCGGUCGUGACCUAUGGGUUUGGGCUGCUCUUCCCUAUGCUCGACUCCUCCAUGUCGCAGCUGCGGUGCAUGUGGCAUGUAUCUGGCAAGCGAACGGGCCAUUCGUAGGCUAUUGGUUGAACUUGAGUCGGAUUGAGUGACUGCUUCUCUCCGUCUGCCGUGCUGCCUACUCCGAUGUGAGGUGGAGAAUGCUCCUUGCAAGCCUAGUUGUGAAUGAACAUUUCGCCUGGAAGAUUGUCCAUGUUGAUAAUCGGAAUGUAACCUCAACCGUGAACGUAUGCUGGCCCAUUGGCUUGAUUGGGAAUGCACGCUCCUCCGCGCGCUAAGACGAGAGUAUAUGUUAUCCUAAUGACCUAAACGGGAGCAUAAACUACCAGAACGUUCAGAUCGUGGCUGGUUGAUAGGCUGCUUGUUGGGAUGCUGGUGGAGAGGUUCAUCUGCCCUUGUCCUACUUAGGGACACCUCGUCUAGGGCACAUUGGAUCUCGGUGCGUUGCAAGAGUUGAUUCACCAAGGUUGUCUGUUGUGCAAGGGCGCUUGUCAACUCUAUGACUUGUCGAGACAAGUGUUGUUCGCCAUUUGGAUUGGAAGAGCUUGGAAUGAAUACGCCUCCUUGAGCAAUGGAAGUGUGGUAGACUCCGGGUGCAAGAUUUGAAUUGGAAAAUGUCAAAUCUGCAGAGAAAUAUGGUGAAAAUACCCCCGGCUUGAUGGUUGCUCCGGAUAGUUAAGAUAUUCUCAGGCCAACUUGAGCUGCUUGGGAAACCAUGGGAGGUAAGGCUGCAGGAGCAAGUUGGAUUACAGGAGCAAGCUGGGUCACGGGAGCAGGUUGCUCAAUGCGUGGUGCAUGCGAAUGCGAGGCUUAGGCUCGAAUUGGAAACGCAUUGGGCUCACGUUUGGCAUGGAGUGACAUGGUUCGGGUCGUGACUUCACUGGUGUUGGCCUUAGAUAGCACGACUUGGGCCGUAGUGGUGGAGCCAUGGACUCGCCGAGGGUGAUUGCCAUGGUGGCCACCUAGGUGGUUGCCAUGGUGGAGCCUUGUGGUGGUGGUGCCGCUCCCCCUAAGAUCACGUUUAGUCUCGUGAAUCACCACGAUCCCAUUUCUUGAAUAUUGGAAUUUUCACUUGUGGAAUUUUCUAAAUUUCUAGCCAUUGUAUUUCUCUUUUAUGUUUUAUCAAAGAAUCUUGGCAAAUAAAAAAUUUUAAUAAUAACAACGUACGAAAAAUACAAGUGGACUAGAAAAUAGAGAAAAAACGUUUUUGUGCGAAAGUCUUCUACGAAUGUGAAUCUCAACUCUCAAUGAAAGCACCAAUUUGUGGAUGCAAAUUUCCACCUUCUUCUUCUUGGACAAAAUUGCACCUACAAAACAAUUAACACCUUAGGUCAAGGCCAAGAGCCUCACACGCCCACGAUGAAUAGGGGGGCUUUGGCCGAAGAACCUCCGAUGCCAAAGUUAGAAUUUAGAGAGAAAAGUAUUUGGAGAGUUUUUUGGAAUUUUUGCCAAAUUGUUGGAAUGAGUGUUUGGUGAAAAUAGAAGCCUAUUUAUAGGGCUAGGAGUGGCCGGUUUUUCAAUGGAUUUUGUGGUUAUGGUUUUGGCUUAAUUAGCCAAUUUAUUGGCUAAUUAAGUAUGAAAGAAGUAAAUGGGAGGUUACAAAAUUAUUUAUUUGUAUAAAUGGGGUAAUAAAAUGGAGAAAAGCGAGAAAGGUGAGGAUGAAAAGGAAGUGGCCGGCCCUUUAACAAUUUUUAGGUUAAAUUGUAUAAUUUAAUAGGUAAUUAAUCUAUUAAUUUACCAAUUAAUAUUAUUUUGGAGGUUACUUUGCAAAAAAGGGAAUUUGAUGAGAUGAAUAUUGAAUUGUUACCUCUUUGGAGCAUUUUUGAGCUGCUCGCGUGUAAGAAUCCCGGUGUGCCUUAAGGGUAGUUUGGUCCUCUUUUACUAAAAAAUCCACGUGUCGCCUUGUGAUUAUUUUUGGCUCCACAAGUUGCUCUUGAAGGUCUCGAGCUGACUGCCCAGAAAAACUAACAGUGUAUCAUCUUGGAGUCUAAUGCUUUAUUGGGUGUUGAAGCCAUAGGCAGCUUGCACAAUCUUAGGAGUCUGAUGCUUUAUUGGUUGUUCAAGCUAGACCCGACAGUUUCUGACACGACACGAAAAUAACGGAUUUCAAAUCAACGUGAUAACUAAUCGGGGCAUUAUUGGGUGACCCGUUAAGAACCCAUUAAUAACGGGUUCUUAACGGGUAUACACACGAGUAACACGUGGGUAACCCGUUUCGACCCGUUAAGAAAAAAAUUAUUUUGAUAAUUUUAAAGUUUAAUUACUAAAAGAUUAAAUUCUAUAUUAAAUAUAUAGUUUUGUAUUAUUAUUCUAUAUAAAUUUAAAAAAAAAUGUUUUAGUCAUUGUUUAUUUUUAUUAUGAGAGUUCCUUAUUAUCAUUACUAGGAUAAAUUUUACUUAACAUGUUGUAGUCCAAAAUUAAAAUAAACUAGUAUAGUAUUUGCAUAGGCAAGAACUAAGAAGGCAUACAUACAAGUAUGAAAAAUGUGAAAAAAUAUAUAAACACUCGUGAUUCAUCAUUAUUUCUCCACGAAUAGAUAAUGGUUACACUUACAUUAUCAUUUAGAUUUUUAAAAUCCUCCAAACCCUCAUGAAUAAUAUUUUUAUUUGAGGGAAAAAUUAAUAAUAAUUAUUGUAGAAGUGUAAAAAAUGUAAAAAAUAUAUAUACAAUCACUCAUAGUGACAAGCUUUACAAAUUUCAUGAAUGGGUUAGCUUCGAAAUCCAACACUAUAAUCCAUAAACCUUAAAUUUAUAUUUAACCGUCGAUUGUAAUUUACGCUUUAUUCUUUUUACUGAAUUUCUUUUUUAAAAUUUUCUUUUUUGAAAACAUGAUCACCUGGCGGAUGUAAGAAGAUGAACGGUUUAGAUCUUUGAUAUCACGUUUCAAUGUUUACGGUUAACUGAAAUAUGAGUCGAUGUCAUAUAGUUUAUAGAAACUUUAUAAACAGCAAACAAUAUUUUCACUUACCGUAAAACUCUAAAUAUAAUAUCAAUAAUCCAAACCAUUCAUCUUCCUGUAUCCUCUAAUAGAUCAUGUUUUCAAAAAAAAAAAAAAUAUGAAAAAACGAAAUUUGAUGAGAACAAUGAAGUGUAAAUGUAAACAACAAUUAACAAUUAAAUUUUGAUCUAUGGUUUAUAUGAUUAUAGUGGCGAAUUUCGAAGUUAAGCUCUUCAUGAAAGUUGUAAAGGUUGUCAUUAUGAGCGUUUAUAUAUUUUUUCUAUAUUUUUUACACUUCUACAUUAAUUAAAAAACUAUUAAAGACUUUACUUAUUUGAAUUAUAAGUUGUACUAAAAUAAUGUAUACUAGGCAUGUUUAAUUAGUCACUUCAUUGCUUAGUAAUAUCCAUUAUUGGUGUGUGUUAUUGUUUGUUCAUGCUUCUAUAAAUUGGAUUGAGUUCGGAUGUUCCUAGAAUCCUACAUGUUUAAAAUGCUAUUAAUUAAUUUAUACCAAUUUUGUUUCAGAAGUAAUGGAUACUAGAGAUUUAGAUUCAGUAAACCUUAGUGAUGAGGAGUCCGUGGAGAUUAUAAUGGGAACAGAACGAGAUAUUGGAAGUGAAAGUAUAGACAAUACAAAUACGAGUAUUGCAAAUAAAAAGGGUAGAGCAAUCAAUUUAGGUAAGCGAAAAUAUACUUAAAAGAAAAAUGUGUUUUUAUGUUUUGGAUGUGACAAUAUGAUAUGUAUAUACUUAUUUAGUAUUAUGUUUUUCAUUUGAUUAUUUAUUGGUUUAAAACAUAUUUUCCUUAAUGGAUAACGGAUCGGGUCAUAUUACCUGUUAAUAUUAUCGGGUCGAUUUUGGGUUGGGUCAUUUUACUCGUUUAUUUUAACGAGUGUUACACGAUAUGACCUGUUAAAAUAUCGAGUAUGACACGAAAACGACACGAACACGGAAAACACGACACGAAUGUCAGGUCUAGUUCAAGCCAUGGGCAGCUUGCACAGUGGUUCGACUUCCAAUGAGUUGCUAAUUGAUGACAUUAAAACUCGUGUACUGAGCUUUAAUGAAUCUAGAGUUUGUCAUGUCCGCUGUUUUGCCAAUUCUGUAGCGCAUAAAUUGGCCAAGUUGAUCUUAGUUUCCAACAACAGAUGUACUCCGGGACACCCUCUAUGAUAAAUGUAUGCUUUCUUAAGUUAUUGAAUAAAACGCUACCGUCUCUUUUCCUUAAAAAAAAAUAAUAAUAAUCAGAACAUGAACACAUACAUGCAACAAGGGAAAAGGUUAGGCAAAGAUGCGACAUCUUCAACAGGCAAUGUCUUUCAUUGGUGACAUUGUAACAUAGUGAAAAUAUAUAUCCUAAAUCUGCCAGACUGCCACCAAUGGAUAAAAAGAUGAUGCAUUUAUAUUCCGCUAUGACUUCAAAUUUUGUCCAUAAACUGUCAGAUUUGACAUUCCAACUUCUCUAAACGUAGAAUCCAGAAACUCUCCCUCUCUUUCUCCCUCUCUGUGGGUGCGUAGUGCGGAGUGGAGCCAAAUUGGCAAAUUUCUGUUGGCUGUUAAGUUGAAUGAUGUGUACGUAUAUAUACCACGUUACGUACCCCGAAAGUUGUCUUGGUUGAAUCUGUCUGCCAGAUAUAUAGCACAUACAGAGAGAGAGAGAGAGAGAGAGUCAAGGCUCACAAUUGACAUGUCUUCCAAUUCGUCACAUGCAUUUGUCAAGAAAACUUCAAACAAAACUUUUUUUUUAACAAACAAUAUUAUCUACACUAAAAGAGAAUGAGGGAGUGGGCUUAGUCUCACAAUGGACUAACAAUAAAGUGGUUCAAAUUCGCCUUUGGCUAGAAUCAAAUCUAAAACCUUUUACUUACAAGUGAAGAGAAAUAUCACUAGAUCAUAGUACUAUGUGGCACUUCAAAACAAAACUUAUAGGGUAAAUUACAUUUUACCCCUUCAGGUUUAGGGUCGAUUUCAAUUCCUUACAACAUCUUUAAAACAUUUCACUUUCAUACCUUAAGUACUAUUUUAUUUCAAUAUAAUACAUCUGUUACAUUUUUCAUCCAUUAGUCCGUUAAAAGCUAACGUGGCUGCCAAAUUUAUGCCACGUGGAAAAAAAAAUUAUGCAUUUAAAAUAUUAUAAUAAUUUACCUUAUUAAAAAAAACCUGAAACCAUCUUCCCCGACCCUUUCUCCCUCUCCUCCGCUCUCUUCACCUCCCCUCCCAUCCAAAAAACCCACCCUUUCCCUGCAACCCAAAUCCCCCAUCCCACCCCACCCCUACCUCCCCGACCUCUCCGCAACCCCCCCCCCCCCCAAAAAAACCCAAAACCCCCAAAUUAUUUGUAUGAAACCUGCAAAAAAAAAAAAAUCCACCAGUGCUUGGAGAAAAGGGCUGACAUUCCCCAGUUGUUGACGCCCACAGAUGGUGAUGGUGGUGUGGUCAUGAUGUCAAUGGCAAGGUGGGUGAGGGUGAGGUAGUGGUUGAAGGUUAAGAACUAGGGAUUUUGGAUAUGUGGAUUUUGGGGCGUUUGGGGUUCGAGUGAGAGAGUGGAGGAGGGUCGGCGUGUGAUGUUGUGCGCUUUGGUGAGGGUGGUGAGGAGGAAAACGUUGGCGGUGAGGAGUGUGAGCGUGAGGGGAUUCUGUGUUGGUGGUGUGCUCAGGUUCCUGAAGACAAACUAGGUUUUGCCUUUUUUUUUUUUUUUUUUUUGAAUUUUUUAAUUAAUUUUUUUAAAUUUUUUAAUUUUUUAUUAAGUGUUUAGCCACAUCAGCACAAAUGGGGACCCUUUAUUUGCCACGUCAUCACUUAACGGUUUACUUAACAGAUUUUCUAACAGAUAUAUGAAAUUGAAAUAAAAUAGUAUUUGAGGUAUGAAAGUGAAAUGUUUUAAAGAUGUUGUAAGGAAUUGAAAUCGACCCCAAACCUGAAGGGAUAAAAUGUAAUUUACCCAAACUUAUAUAGUGAAGUGCAAUAGAAAUUAAAAAAAAAGAAACAAGUUACUAUUGAAGUUUAACACUUGAUCAUUAAUCUAUUGGUAAUACCAGAUAGUUUAAAGGCCGACCCAAAGGAGGUGUAGUAGGGGUGGGUGUGGUGCGGUUCAGUAUGGUUCGGUGUGAUUUCAAGUAAAACCGCAACUGAAACCGAAACUUUUUGCGAUGCGGUUCGUUGCGGUUUUGAAGCCAAAACCAAAAUGAAACCAAACCAUUUGGUUCGGUUCGGUUCGAUUUUUGAGAAAAAAUAUACAAUUUAAAAUAUGCACCUAUUUAUGCAUAAGAUGAUCUUAUUUUUCUUGCUUUAGAUCGCCGAUAAGGAUCCUCUGAAAGUAAAGGAGGUUUGUGAUCACUCCAAACGUCAUCAAUGUAUUGAAGAAUGAUGAGCGACAUACGGGCUUAUUGCUAUGCAUGAGGACAAGAACUUUCUGAUGCACUGGGUUGACUUUGAGAAGCAAAGGGCUCUUGUUUUUUUUUUUGGAAAAGAUGUUCUUCUUCCAAAUAGAGGUAAUGGACUCCCUUCUCUGCCAAAGCAAUUUUCACUCUCAUGACAUAAGGACUUGUCUAGAAUCCCACAAGUGCAGCAAAAACAGCAACAACAAUGCAGCAAAACUACAACAAAAACAUUCAAUAUAUGGUGCGGUUUCGGUUUCGGUUUCGGUGCGGUUUUGAAAACCCAAAACCGAAACCAAACCGUUUAUUUACAACAGUUCGGUUUCGAAACCGCAACCGUUUUAAAACCGCAAAACCAAAUUGUUCGGUGUGGUCCGAUUCGAUUCGAUUCGUGUUUAGGUUUUGGUUUUCGGUUCCAAGUGCCCACCCCUAAGGUGUAGGUGGUGUCACCUAAAUGAGUGAUCAAUCACGACACACUCCAAACCAAAUAUUCAAAAAGACACCAAAAUCGAGACAUGUUGACCGACACUUGAAAGGUGAUGAAGUCAUAAUAUGUAAUUUAUGUAUAUAAAGUACGAGGAAAUUAAAACCAAAGUCUAGAAGUAAGUUAAUAACUAAGAGCAAGAGUGCGCAGUGUGGGUGAACUCUUAUUACAAAUGCAUGCAGUGUUAGAUUAUGGAUAAAAGUGCAUUAUAGGUCAGAAUAUCUUCAUCUUAGGUAGGAUGGAUCAAGGAAGAAAAUAUCGGUAAUAUCGGAAAUAUCGGUAGUCCGAAAACACGGAAAUAUCGAUGGAAAUAUCGGUAAAAUAUCGAUAUCGAUAAAAAUUACAUGGAAACCACGGAAAUUGUAAGAAAAACUUGGAAAUUUUUAUUGAAACUUUGUAGGAUGUUUAUUUAGUCAAUUAUCUAUUAGUUUAUCACAAAAAUUGGAAAGAAAUGCAUUGCAUGAUGGAUUUAACAUUAUCAAGUUGAUUAUAUAGCGAGCUGACAAACAUUGUGAGUGUAGAAAAUAUGUAGUAAUUAAUGAAAGAAGUCUAAACACACCAUAAUCAUUUAUAUAUAAUGAAUUAGUACAAUAUUUGGAGGUUUUAUUUAGGAUAUUAAAAAAAAAAAAGGAAGUGAAUAAAAUGAUGAAGAAUAAUGUGCCGAAUUUGACACUUUAAAUUUCUUACACAUAAGCAUGCGUCUAGGCGUUGAAGUUCCAAAUUAUAGUAUAUCAAUUAACGAUUGAAAAUCAAUACAUUGAAUAAGACUAAACUUUAAUUUGGAUGCCGAUUAUGUUUUUUCAAGUUUAUAUAAAGUAAAAAGAAUUGAAUUUUGGAAGUCAGGAGUGUGUCAAUUGUUUUAUAAUUCGUCCGAAUACAUAUAUCAGGUUGCUACUCAACGUAAUUUGAAAGUAUAUCUAGUGCAAGGACUUGUCUUUUUUUGUUGAUAAGCAAAGGGUUUGUAGCUUUUUUUGCUAAGCAGUAGAACAUAUUAUGUUUGUUUAAUCUUUAGCAUUUGAUGGUUGUCCACAAAUAUAGGAUAGAAGGCCCCAAAUUAGAUCUGGCUCUUACCUAGUUGGAGUCACAAGUUCACAUGUACCAGCCCUUGAGGCAAUACGUUUUGGUUUUCCGGCCAAACCACGGCGAGUUGGCCGGCGUGCAAGGUAUCAAUCUCUUCGUCUCGUCGAGUAGUACAACUUUCCUUUUUGUUUCACUCAAUUUCGUUGAGUAUUGAAAAAGUUAUACUCAUUUGAAUCUUACCCAGUUUCCGGCGACCUCAGUGACUUUCGAGGAAAUUUCCGGCCAAACCACAACGAGUCAGACAUCGUGUGAGGUACCAUUCUCUUCGUCUCUUCGAGAGCUACAACUUUCCUUUUUGUUUCACUCAAUUUCAUUGCGUAUUGAAAACGUUAUACUCAUUUGAAUCUUACCCAGUUUCCGGCGAUCUCAGUGGCUUUCGAGGAAAUUUCCGGCCAAAACACGGCGAUUUGGCCGGCUUGCAAGGUAUCAAUCUCUUCGUCUCGUCGAGUAGUACGACUUUCAUUCUUGUUUCACUCAAUUUCGUUGAGUAUUGAAAAAGUUAUACUCAUUUGAAUCUUACCCAGUUUCCGGCGACCUCAGUGACUUUAGAGGCAUUUUCCGGCCAAACCACGACGAGUCAGAUGUUAUGUGAGGUACCAUUCUCUUCGUCUCUUCGAGGGCUACAACUUUAGUUUUUGUCUUGCUUGAUUUUGUUGAGUUUUGACAAAGUUAUGGCCAUUUAAAGUGGGUGUGGAUUUUCGGCCGAAAUUCCUAUUUUCUUCCUUGGUCGAGUCCCACAUCGCCCAGCAAGGGCAGUGAGCAAGCCAAGAACGCCUAUAAAAGGCACAUUCACAUGGUGAGAAAAGCAUGUCUUGGUUAGCCUUUGGGGGCUUUGAUUAAGUGUAGUAUAUGUUGAGAUUUUCAACAUUUUUAAAUAUUUUUGAAUAUUAUAUUGUGAUAUUAUCGAUAAUUUUAAAAAUAUCGUGAUAUUAUCGAUAAUAUUGUGAUAUUUUGACAAAAAUUAUUUGGAUAGUUAUAAAAAUUUUGGAACUCCAAAAAAAUGAUAAUAUUGGUGAUAUUUUGCCGAUAUUAUCGAUUUUUUCUUUUUUGGAAUGGAUAUUAUACAAUUAACAAGAAUAAAUUUCGUACAUUAAUUAUAGCAAAUAUGCCAAAACCGCUAGUGAGUCCUCGCUCGCCAUAGCAUCCAACUACUAAGUCUUGGAAUGGUGAAAAACAAACUAUCAGUGGACAAAAACAAGGAUUUACCAAAAUUUUUGCUUUUCUUAACAUAGUAACCUCUCGUUGUAAUAUGGAAACCAAAGCAAAAUAGUAUAAAAGCCGUUAUGCUUAAGAUACGAGUAAAUCGCAAAUAUCUUAACAACUGUAGCACAAUAUGCUCGUAAAAAAUGUAGACACACGAGUCCAUGAAGAAAGUAGCUAGAUGAACAUGUUGACACGUACAAUGAAUCCAAUGUGAGCAUAACGUUGCACAUACAUGUAAAGCUGAUCCUGGUCCGAACGAGUACUAAAGACACCAAUUUAAACCUGCAUGAUGAGCAGAUAAAAUAUGUACUAUCAUACCAUCAUAAUUUCAUAAACCUCAACAUCAACAAAUAAUAUUUCUAAGUAAGAUUGUGGCAUGAUGUAAAACAUUCUUUAACCAUUAAAGAAACUAUACAUAUAACAUAGGUUUGAAAACAAAACCCACUCACUUAUAUGUCGUCAAAUUAUAACCACAUUGCCUUGCAUGGCUUCUAAAAUCCUCGAAAUAAGUCUUUCCUAUAUGAUUUCAUUAACUGAUGAGGAAACAUGAAAAUGAUGGUUAUGAACUUAACUCUUCCUAUUAUAACACUAAUAGCAAGUGACAGCGAUCUGACUCACUAGCCCCCACCAAGUGUUUCAAUUCUUUCUCAAAUUGGAGAAAUAAUCUUAUAUAUUUUACAAUAUCCCAAACAGUAGCUACAUAUGCAUUGGGAUGAAAUCCCACUUACAUAUACUUGCUAUAUAUAAAGCUUAGUUUUGCUGUCAUACAACCCCCCCCCAACUGCCCUCUAUUUCACUCUCAGUAUCUACUAGUUAUGAACAUCGAUAUGAUGCUUUUUGAGGCUAAGUUCCUCAUCAAACAAUUCUUUCGCAGAUGCAGGAACCUUGGUGGUACAGUCCUAAGGCGUAAAAUCCGGGGUCACUUUAGCAAUGCGAAAAUGUGGUUCCCCCGUCAUGAAGAGGACUACUAUGUACCCAAAGAUGUCCCAAGAGGCCACCUUGUGGUGUAUGUUGGUGAAGACUGCAAGAAAUUUAUCAUCAAGGUUACAUUACUCAGCCACCCUCUGUUCCAGGAAUUGCUUGAUCUCGCUGAAGAAGUUUUUCAGCUUGCAACCAACACGAAACUCUGGAUUCCUUGCAACGAAUACAUUUUCAUCAGCGUUCUUCGUUGCAUCAGUUAUGAACUAGAUCUAGGGUUUCAUUAUCUUUGAUGACGUUGCCUUUUUCUUCAGAAGUUUUGUUAUAUGCUUGGAGCAUUUAGAUAAGAUAUGUUAGUAAGUGUGCAGCUAAAUUUCUGUUGUACUUGUACAUUGUGUUAUUUUCAAUUUUAAAGCUCAUAAGUCAAAAGCUAAUUUAUGAUGAAAAUUGUGUCAUUUUACGGGCUCCGCAAGCGUUCACUACUAUAUUUCAAACUAUUUUGACUAUUAUUGAACUUUUCUGGUAUGGGAAUUACGCUUGCCCAAGCAAAUCAGGCUAACUAGUUCAUACAAUAUUCUCAAAAAAGUUAAGCUUUCUUCUGACUACAAUGCUAGUUAUAUUGAGGAAAUGAAAAGACUUUUUCAUUAACCUGAAGAAUAACAUUACAGAGUAUAUAUAUACAACCAACUGUUGUAAAACUAAAGUUACCAAAAGUAAAAGAGAUUAUUACAACAGUAACUUUUAACUAACUGUUAACAUCUUUUACAUUUUUAUAUACUCCAUUAUUCUCUUCACACCCCCUCAAGCUAAACGGAGAGGAUUUGAGGGAAAGCUUGGAUCACAGAUCAAGAAAUCGUUGACGAGGAAGAGAUUUAGUGUGGAUGUCAGCAAGCUGAUCUUGGCUGCAAACAAACUGAAUAGUGAGAAGCUUAGCAAGAACAAGCUCCCAAAUAUAAUGGUAGUCAAUUUCAACAUGCUUUGUGCGAGCAUGGAAGACCGGAUUUGAAGCCAAAGAAAUCGCUGAAAUGUUAUCACACCAAAUCUGAGGUAAAACAGGUAAUUGAAAACCAAUAUCAGCAAACAAUUUGCAAAUCCAAGUAAUUUCAGCUGCAGUAUGGGCUAAGGAUUUGUAUUCAGCUUCGGUGGAGGACCGAGCAACUGUAUGUUGCUUCUUAGCACUCAAGCUAAUGAGGGAAGGGCCAAGAAAUAUACAGAAACCUCCAAUAGACCGCCUGUCCCAAGAGCAGCCAGCCCAAUCUGCAUCCGAGUAAGCUUUAAGGGUGAAAGAAGAUGAGACCUUGGGAAACCACAAGCCAAGACCAAAAGAUCAUUUGAGAUAGCGUAAAAUACGUUUGACAGCUUGGAGAUGAGGGACCCGUGGAGAAUGCAUAAACUGACAAACAAGGUUCACAGCAAAGGAAAUAUCAGGUCUAGUCCAUGUAAGAUACUAAAGAGCCCCAACAAUAUUCCUAUAUUCAGUAGGAUCUUCAAGUAAAGAGCCAGUGUGAUCAAGUUUGGCAGAGCCAAAAGGAGUAAGACAAGGUUUUGCACCAUCCAUGUGAGUUCUUAUGAGCAAGUCCAAAAUAUAUUUGGGUUGAUGAAUGAAUACACCCGCAGGAGAGGGCUGGACUUCUAAGCCAAGAAAAUAAUGAAGAUCACCGAGAUCUUUGAUAGGAAACUGAGCAGUUAACUAAGAGAUAAUAGUGUUGUAGGCAAUAGAAGAGGGGCCAGUCACAAUAAUAUCAUCCACAUAGACGAGAACAAGAACUAAAACUGGUUGUUGAAGGACAAACAAAUUGUGAUCCGAUUGAGAAGCAUGGAAGCCAAUAGAGAACAAGGCAGAUUGAAGUUUUUCAAACCAAGCCUGUGGAGCCUGUCUCAAACCAUACAGAGACUUCUUGAAGUGACACACAUGAUUAGGAUGAGCUGGAUCAAUAAAACCUGAUGGUUGAGCCAUGAAUACAUUCUCUUUCAGAUUUCCAUGUAAGAACGCAUUACUAACAUCCAAUUGAUGUAAAAACCAGUUAGAUUGAGUUGCCAGAGUAAGUAAUAUCCGGAUGGUGACUGGUUUGGCCACUGGACAGAAAGUCUCACGAAAAUCAAUGCCUUCUUGCUGGUUAUACCCCUUUGCCACUAAUCUGGCCUUAUAACGAUCCACAGAGCCAUCAGGUUUACGUUUAAUUCGGAAAACCCACUUACAUCCCACUAAGUUUUGAGAAGUAAAAGGAGGAACAAGUUGCCAGGUUCCUGUAUGUUGCAGAGCAUUAAAUUCAUCUUGCAUUGCUGCCCUCCAAUAGGGAUACUUAGAUGCUUGAAGAUAGGUUGAAGGGACAUAUGCACUGUCUAAGGGAGUUGGUAAGGGAUGUUUAGUAGCUGUGUAUGCUUUAGGUUUAAAGAUGCCGGAUUUAGAUCUAGUUUGCAUAGGGUAAACAGAGAUAACAUGGGAAGGUAGAAAGGUAGGUGAAGAUAUGGGAGAAGUAGGGGCAAGGGAAGGUGGGGCAGAUAUAGGUUGGGUAGAUGGUGUGGCAGGUUGAGGAGCAUGACAUGGUGAAGAAUUAGGAGGAUAUAGAUGAGGAAAAACAAGGGAAAAAUGAGAGGAAGUAGUAGGAGAAGGACUAGGGGAAGAGGAUGUAAGUGUGUGGAAAGGAAAAGAUGUCUCAUCAAAAUAUACAUGUCGAGAUAUGUAGACUCGAUUGGUGAUGGGAUCUAAACAGCGAUACCCUUUAUGAAUCAAACUGUAUCCAAGAAACACACAAGGUUUACUUUUAGCAUCCAAUUUGGAAGUGAUAUAGGGUUUUAACCAAGGAUAGCAACUGCAACCAAAGACUCUGAGCUGAUUGUAAUCAGGAGGCUUUCGAAAGAACUGUUCCCAUGGAGAUGGUUUAGAAGGAGGAGGCAACCGAUUAAUAAGGUAGGUGGCAAUAAGAAAAGCUUCCACCCAAAAUUGAUGAGGCACUUUAGAAGUGAUCAAUAAAGUUCGAGCUGUUUCAACAACAUGUCGGUGCUUUAUUUCAGCACAACCGUUUUGUUGGGGAGUAUGCGGACAACUAAAAUGAUGUUGAAUACAAUAAGAAGCAAGAUGCUUAUAAAAAGUAGAACUAAGAAACUCACCCCCUGAGUCUGUGCGUAAAGUACCAAUCUUGAAGCCAGAAACAUUUUCAACCAAAGCUUGAAAUUGGACAAAAGUAACAAAGACAUCCGAUUUAUGUUUAAGAGUAUACAACCAAGUAUACUUGGUGAAGUCAUCAACAAAAAGAACAUAGAACUUGUAUCCACUAACAGAAAGUAAUGGUGCAGGUCCCCACACAUCAGCAUGAACAAGUUCCAGUAGUCUAGAUGUGAUACUAACGGAAGCAUGAAAUGGCAACCAAGCACACUUGCCUAAGACACAAUUGGAACAGAAGAGCUGAUCAACAGAAGUAGUAAUAGGCAAUGAAGACUGAGAAAUAACAGAUCUAAAUGUCUUGAGCGUUGGAUGUCCCAAGCGUUGAUGCCAAAGAUGAGGUGAUGUCCUUAUUGCAAUAGUAGCAAGAUAUCUGCUGGAAUGAUGAGGAAAUGCAGAGAAGGGAUAGAGACCAUGGCGAACAGGGCCUCUAAAAAGCAUCUUCCCCGUAGUAAGAUCCUUGACAUUGAAGUCAAAAGGAUUCAGAGUCAUAGAACACCAAUUAUCCACAGAAAACAUAUUGGCAGAAAGUAGAUCAUGUUUUAAUUGAGGAACAUGUAAAACAUUCUUUAAUUGAAACGUAGCAGAAGGAGUGUGAAUUAAAAAAGAGCCAGAGUGAUGGAUUUGCAAAUCUUGGCCAUCACCAAUAUAAACUUUGUCAGAGCUAUAAUAUGGUUGUGGAUUCUGCAAAUUCUGAAUGUUAUUGGUCAUGUGGGAACUUGCUCCAGAAUCGAUGAGCCAUGGAGGAGAGGAAUGAACAGGAGGAUUAGCAUACAUAACAAGCUUCGCAUGAGGAACACAACCUUGAAAAUUAGGAUUCAUACGAUGACUCCAAUCAAUGGCUUGGUGGCCUGGGUCUUCACAGAUCUGGCAAGGAGAAGGCUUAAAUUGUUGAAAAAACGAGGGCCGCCACGAGAACCACCACAAUUCUGAAAAUUAGAAGUGGAGCGAUUAAAUCGAUUACGAUUGUUGUUGGUGUUGUAAUUACGCUGCGUACGAUUAUUGUUGGUGUAAUUGCGCUGAUCACGAUUCUGAGGAUGAGCAGCGUAGGCUUGAGGUUUAUGGGGAAUAGAUGGUGUAGGGAGCAAAGGAGGAGCAGUGGGAGAUGAUGCUUGAAAGGCCUGAAAAGGUUCAGUAGAUGAGCCUUUUGCAUGCUGCUUCAGUGCAAGCGUCAUUUCUUUGCUAAGCAAGAAACCAUAGAGAUCAUCAACAGUCGUAUCAGCAAGACGAAAUUGGACCAAAUCAACAAACGAAUCAUAGUCAUCAGGAAGUCCAUUAAGAAUUAUCAUCAGCAGAUCAUGAUCAUCAACGGGUGCGCCAGCAGCCGCAAGAGCAUCGGUGACUUCCUUGAGACGCUGAAAGUACUCAGAGAUGGAAGAUGCGCCUUUAGUUAUCGAUUGAAGAGUUGACCGCAGUUGAUGAAUGUGAGAUCUCGAGACACCAUCAAAUCUUCGUUCAAGAUUCUGCCAUAAUUCCCGAGCAGAUUGAACACCGACGGUGAAAGGAAGCAAAUCCUCAGAGAGUGUAGAGUUAAUCCAGAUGAUGAUAUUCUGAUCAGUCUCAUACCAUAACUCGAAGGCAAGAUUAGGAAUCAAAUUUCCUGAAGAAUCACAGAGUAAUUGAGGCGGUGCAGGUUCAGAUCCAUCAACAAAUCCAGCAAGCUCGUACCGGCGAAAGAUCGGAUCAAAGAGAGAUUUCCAGACGAGAUAAUUGUGGCGUUUCAGCUUCGUCUGGACCAUGCUUCCAAUGUUCUGGAUUGUGAUGUGAUUAAUCAAGACCUGAGUAGAAGAAAGAAGGGGAAUAGCAUCCGGAGAAGAAGGAGAUUGCACAGGCACCAAAGAAGAAGAAGUAGCCGCCAUGGAUACAGAGGAUCAGAGAAGAAAAUAGUUGAAGAGAUCUGUUUGGUUGGGAAGAAAAUAGCGGAAGGGAUCUAUUUGGGUACUGAGAAAAUGAUUAAAGGAUUGAAGUCGGUAGACUUCUGGCGGAGGAUACCAUAUUGAGGAAAUGAAAAGACUUUUUCAUUAACCUGAAGAAUAACAUUACAGAGUAUAUAUAUACAACCAACUGUGGUAAAACUAAAGUUACCAAAAGUAAAAGAGAUUAUUACAAUAGUAACUUUUAACUAACUGUUAACAUCUUUUACAUUUUUAUAUACUCCAUUAUUCUCUUCAAGUUAAACCCGGCUCCAGGUCAACAAUUGUAAGUUCCACUCUGUAAUGGAUCCCGUAGGGAUUCAUAUAAUCAGGUAUGGGAUCGGUGCCAUCGUUGCCACCGAAGCAUGUGAAAAUGGUGUUAAUAUACCAAACACUACUGGCUGAAGUCAAGGAGAAGAUCCAUCUCUCACCAGAUCCACCGCACAGGUGGUCGGAAGCUUGUAGGCCUUCGAAUUGGAGUCGGUGUCAU